UUUUUGCAUGUAAUUAGGCUAUAAAUAGAGAUGUUUUCAAAUGUUGAAGGACUUUUGCCUCUUUUAUCAUUUUCAUAAUCUCAACAAAAGAAAAAAGAAAGCUUCCAAUCUCAUUUUAUCUCCAUUACUUUCUACACCAAAAUUGGGUCCCACAACCCGGUUCUUUGUCUAGAGGAUAGCAGUUGAGUACUAGUGGUGGUCUCGGGUAGAAUUGGUAAGAAGACAUCAAACCUUUUGAAAGCUUCAAAGGUAAUACUUCUUAAAACCCUAAUUUGAUUAGUUUAUGGUUACAUGUUAAUUGUGGCAAUUAGGGUAGAAAUUCGAUUCUUUUUCCGCUGUGCAUGACUUAGUUCUAUCAUGUGGUAUCAGAGCAUGCUUCAUUUUUACCCAAUUGCAUGUGGUGGGUUCAUAUUUAUUAGAUAAAUUUUGGUUUGAACUAAAAUGGAUAUAUUAUGAUUUUGGCUCUAGAUUAAGUGUUUUUGUUCUAAUUAUUGUAAUUAGCCUUGUUAAUGGCUUAUUUUUAUUGUUGCAAAGUGUUUGUAAUUUUUUAAAAAAAUAAAAAAAGUCAUUAGAGUUGAAGCUAGGCUGUAAUUGGUUCAACCGGGUGAGAGAAUUGAAAAAAAUGAAGAAAAGAAGGUCACAGACCCGAAAACCCGGUUUUGACCCGCUUCGCGACCCGCACGCGCCCGCAUGCCCGCGCGCCCUCCUGCGCCCGCGCGCCCUCCUGCGCUCCUGCGUCCGCACGCGCCCCGCGCGCCCGCGCGCCCUCCUGCGCCCGCGCGCCCUCCUGCGCCCGCGCGCCUGCAUGCGCCCGCGCGCCCGCAUGUGCCGCGCGCCCGCAUGCGCCCGCGCGCCCGCAUGCGCCCGCGCGCCCGCCAUCGCCGCGCGCCCGCCUUCGCCCGCGCGCCUGCCUUCGCACGACCCGUGUGCGCCUGGGCCGGUUCAAGCCAAUAAAUUUGGUUUUUGGGCCGGUUCAAGCGGUUUCGGUUGGUUUUUUAGCCGGUUCGAAAUUUUUGGGAGUGGUUCUGUACUACACCAAAUUAAUUAUGUAAUAAUUUAGCACUUAGCUUAAUUUAGGAGCCAAAAAUCAGUCCAUUUUAGGGUGUUUUUUUUAUUUAUGCAUGUGAUGUAUGAUUAAAUUACUUUAAAUUUGUAUGUGCAUUUUGAAUGUCAUAUAGAUUUAAAAUCCCACCAUAGGUUAACAUGUUCAUGCAUUAAAAUGUAUGAUAUAAAGGUUAUAUUGUAUUGUAUGCAUGUUAAUUGAUUAAUAUGGAAAUUAAUUAAUAUGAUUAAUUAAUUAUUUAAUUAAUUAAGUUAUUCUUGAUUAAAUAUGAUUUAAUCAAAUUAAUUAAUUAUUGUUUGAUUUAAUUUAAUUAAAUAUGAUUUAAUUAAAGUUAAAUAAAUUAAAAUCCAUAUUAAUUGAUUGUUUUUAUUAUAUAUUGAUAAAAUGAUUGAUUAAGUUUAAAAGUUUUUAUAAGUGUUAUAAAAUAAAUUAGACUUUUAAAAUCAAUAACAAAGAUUAAAUGCAUGCUCACUUAGGUUAAACAUAUCUUCCAUUUUUCAUAGAAAUAGGUCGAUAUCUUGUAAAACUGGUUACAAAAGGCUCACCUGGUUCAAUCUUGUCAACAAGUCAGAUAAGAUGACUAAGGUUGGAGGUUCUUAAGUUGACGGUUUACGGAACACCUCCUACCUGGAGAUCGUAAUCAGUUCUUGAGCCUAGUUAACCUAGUUUUAUGAGCAUUCGUGAGAGGUGUGAGGUAAUAAAAAUGGUUUUUCACCUAGACAUCAUAGGUUAAAAUCCUGUAUAAUGGUUAUACUUGGAUGUUUUAUCUAGACUUAAGAUUUGUUUAAGUUAGCCUAAAUAUAAAUCUUGAAGUUUGGAUUACCCUAUUUUUUUCUUUUAGAACACUUCAACUAGAGAAAAAUAAUGUAUUUUAGCUCUAGUGUCCCUAAGAGUUCACACCGUGAGGUCCAUGCAGGGCUUUGUGCCGUGCAUAGGAGCGGCCUCCCUUCGGAGAGUGUUUGCAUGGAUCAAAAUCAAGGUGAAUAGGGGAAGUAGUUCAUAGUAAGUGGGUGAGGGAUUUGUGGCAGCACAUCCCACGGUCUCUUCCAUUAGGUCGCACCGUGAGAUUUCUAUAAUAUGCCUGCUUGUCUGCCCUGGAGCGACGUUCCCUUCGGAGGGUUGUAUUAUAGGAUUCGGAACACCGCGAACUCCAAAACUGGAUAGGAUUUCUUAGAUUAGUUUUCAUAAAUGAUUCUAAUCUAUAAAAUCUGAAAAUGGUGGGUAACACUUACAAGAAUUACUAAGUUGUUAGUAUAUUCUUGACUAAAGUAGCGAUAACUAAGUGCUAUAAAGAAUAAAGAGUUAUUCUUGAGAUAGCAUCUAGUCAAGAUUGUCUUGGUUCAAAGGAGGAAUAAUCAACUACCCUUCGGAGAAGGUUGUUCUAAACCUUUGAAAUAUUGUUGCAAAAUACAAAUAAUGAAAGGGUACAUUAUUAGUAAUUGCUAAAUUAGAUUGGAUAUUUUUUAUGAUUAUAGUUUUUUUCCUAAAAAGAAUAUGUUUGUUUUUCAGCAUGAAUAGCUCAAUAGUUCGACUUUUAGCUUCCGAAAAACUUAAUGGCGAUAAUUAUGCGGCUUGGAAAUCAAAUCUUAACACAAUACUAGUGGUUGGUGAUUUAAGAUUUGUCUUAACUGAGGAAUGUCCUCAAAACCCUGCCUCUAAUGAUAACCGAACUAGUCGGGAUGCAUAUGAUCGAUGGAUAAAAGCUAAUGAAAAAGCCCGUGUCUACAUUCUUGCCAGCAUGUCUGAUGUAUUGGCAAAGAAACAUGAAUCCUUAGCCACGGCUAAAGAGAUUAUGAAUUCAUUAAGGGGAAUGUUUGGGCAACCAGAAUUGUCCUUAAGACACGAGGCAGUCAAAUACAUUUACACUAAGCGUAUGAAGGAAGGGACCUCUGUUAGAGAACAUGUUCUGGACAUGAUGAUGCACUUCAACAUCGCUGAAGUGAAUGGUGGUCCCAUCGAAGAGGUUAAUCAAGUUAGUUUUAUCUUAGAGUCUCUUCCGAAGAGCUUCAUUCCAUUCCAAACGAAUGCGUCUUUGAACAAGAUAGAAUUUAACUUGACAACCCUUCUGAAUGAACUCCAGCGAUUCCAAAACCUUACUGUGGGUAAAGGAAAACAAGUGGAAGCAAAUGUUGCUACCACAAAAAGAAAAUUUAUAAGAGGAUCGUCCUCUAAAACCAAAGCUGGACCCUCAAAACCUAAUGCUCAAAUAAAAAAGAAGGGAAAGGGAAAGACUCCCAAACAGAACAAGGGUAAGAAAGGUGCAGAAAAAGGUAAGUGUUACCAUUGUGGCCAAAACGGGCACUGGUUAAGAAACUGCCCAAAAUACCUUGCAGAAAAAAAGGCAGAGAAGGAAACACAAGGUAAAUAUGAUUUACUAGUUGUAGAAACAUGUUUAGUGGAAUAUGAAAAUUGUACCUGGAUACUAGAUUCAGGAGCCACUAAACCAUAUUUGCUUCUCAUUUCAGGAAAAUAGUUCUUGAAAAAGCUUUCAGAAGGCGAGAUCACUCUCAAGGUUGGAACAGGAGAGAUGGUCUCAACUUCAGCAGUGGGAGAUUUAAAGUUGUUUUUUAGAGAUAGAUAUGUCAUACUUAAGAAUGUCUUAUAUGUACCUCAAAUGAAAAGAAAUUUAAUAUCUAUCUCUUGUAUUUUGGAACAAAUGUAUAGAAUAUCUUUUGAAAUUAAUGAAGCGUUCGUUUUCUAUAAAGGUAUUCUAGUUUGUUCUGCUAUACUUGAAGACAACUUAUAUAAGUUAAGACCAACUAGAGCAAAUUUUGUCUUAAAUACUGAAAUAUUCAGAACAGCUGAAAACUCAGAAUAAAAGACAAAAAGUUUCUUCUAAUGCCUAUUUAUGGCACUUAAGACUUGGUCACAUAAAUCUCAAUAGGAUUGGGAGAUUGGUUAAAAGUGGGCUUCUAAGUCCGUUAGAAGAUAACUCUUUACCUCCUUGUGAAUCUUGUCUUGAAGGAAAAAUGACCAAGAGAUCUUUUACUGGAAAAGGUCUAAGAGCCAAAGGACCCUUAGAGCUCGUACAUUCGGACCUUUGUGGACCAAUGAAUGUCAAAACUCGAGGUGGAUAUGAAUAUUUCAUUAGCUUCAUUGAUGAUUAUUCAAGGUAUGGUCAUAUUUACCUAAUACAUCAUAAGUCUAAUAGUCUUGAAAAGUUCAAAGAAUAUAAGGCUGAAGUAGAAAACGAAUUAGGUAAAACAAUAAAAAUACUUCGAUCAGAUCGAGGUGGAGAGUAUAUGGACUUACGAUUCCGAGACUAUUUAAUAGAAAAUGGAAUCCAGUCACAACUCUCUGCACCUAGUACACCUCAACAGAACGGUGUAUCAGAAAGAAGAAACUGGACCUUGUUAGACAUGGUUCGCUCUAUGAUGAGUUUUUCUCAGAUGUCAGAUUCUUUUUGGGAUAUGCUUUAGAAACAGCUGCUUAUAUUUUGAAUAAUGUUCCCUCUAAAAGUGUUUCAGAAACACCUUAUGAGCUAUGGAAAGGGCGUAAAGGCAGUUUACGUCAUUUUAAAAUUUGGGGUUGUCCAGCACAUGUGUUGGUACAAAAUCCAAAGAAAUUGGAACAUCGUUCAAAAUUAUGCUUUUUUAUAGGUUAUCCAAAAGAAUCAAGAGGUGGUUUGUUUUAUGAUCCUCAAGAAAAUAAAAUAUUUGUGUCAACAAAUGCCACAUUCUUAGAGGAAGACCACAUCAGGGAUCAUCAACCUCGUAGUAAACUAGUAUUUAAAGAAAUUUCCAAAAGUGCUAUAGAUAAAACCUAGUUCAUCCACUAAAGUAGUUGAUAAGACUAGGAAAUCUGGUCAAUCACAUCCUUCUCAACAGUUGAGAGAGCCUCGACGUAGUGGGAGGGUUGUUCAUCAGCCUGAUCGCUAUUUGGGUUUAAUUGAAACUCAAGUCGUCAUACCUGACGAUGGCAUAGAGGAUCCAUUAACCUAUAAACAGGCAAUGAAAGAUGUAGAUCGUGACCAAUGGAUCAAAGCCAUGGACCUCGAAAUGGAGUCUAUGUACUUUAAUUCUUUCUAGACUCUAGUAGAUCAACCAAAUGACGUAAAACCUAUUGGUUGUAAAUGGAUCUACAAGAGAAAACGAGACCAUGCCGGUAAAGUACAGACUUUUAAGGCUCGACUUGUGGCAAAGGGUUAUACCUAGAGAGAGGGAGUAGACUAGAGGAAACUUUCUCUCCCGUUGCCAUGUUAAAGUCAAUUAGAAUACUCUUAUCCAUCGCCACUUUUUAUGAUUAUGAAAUUUGGCAGAUGGAUGUCAAGACAGCUUUUUUGAACGGUAAUCUUGAAGAGAGUAUCUAUAUGUCUCAACCAGAGGGGUUUAUAAAACAAGAUCAAGAACAAAAGGUUUGUAAGCUUAAAAAAUCCAUUUAUGGAUUAAAACAAGCUUCUAGAUCCUGGAAUAUAAGAUUUGAUAUUGCGAUCAAAAUCUUAUGGCUUUGAACAAAAUGUUGACGAGCCUUGUGUUUACAAAAGGUCGUCAAUUCCAUUAUAGCAUUUUUUAGUCUUAUAUGUAGAUGAUAUUCUACUUAUUGGAAAUGACUAGGAUAUCUUCCUGAUAUCAAGAAAUGGCUAGCUAUGCAAUUUCAAAUGAAAGAUCUGGGAGAUGCACAAUACGUUCUCGGAAUCCAAAUUGUUCGAAACCGUAAGAACAAAACACUAGCCAUGUCUCAAGCAUCUUACAUAGACAAAAUGUUGUCUAGAUAUAAAAUGCAGAAUUCCAAAAAGGGUCUGCUGCCGUACAGAUAUGGAAUUCAUUUGUCAAAGGAACAAUGUCCUAAGACACCUCAAGAAGUUGAGGAUAUGAGAAAUAUUCCCUAUGCUUCCGCUGUUGGAAGUUUAAUGUAUGCAAUGUUAUGUACUAGACCUGACAUUUGCUACUCAGUAGGGAUGGUCAGUAGGUAUCAAUCCAAUCAUGGACGUGAUCACUGGACAGCCGUUAAAAACAUUCUACAUGCUCAUGUAUCGUACAAAGGAUCUGAUCCUUACUGGAUACACUGAUUCAGAUUUCCAAACUGAUAAAGAUGUUAGAAAGUCUACAUCAGAUCAGUAUUUACUCUAAAUGGAGGAGCAGUAGUUUGGAGAAGCAUAAAGCAAACUUGUAUAGCUGAUUCCACAAUGGAAGCUGAUCAUUUUACAAAAGCCCUCACGGCUAAAGUGUUUGAGGGUCACCUACACAGUUUAGGUGUACGAUGUUUGUAAACUAGGACAAGUGGGAGACUUAUUGGCCAUGUGCCCUAGUUUCAUAUAUAUUCUCUCACACCACAUCUCUCAUACCACUAGGAAUUUUAGUCCAAGUGGGAGUUUGUUGGAAUUUUUUGUCCUAAAACUCGUAGUUUGUAAAUCAUAUUCUAUUCAAUAAAGUUGUUAUUGAGAAAUUAAAUAUUAUAAUCUUAAAUCCAAUAAAUCAAAGUUCCAAGGCUAUUUUUUGAAUAAACUUGAACUUUAUGUGUAAACAUAAACGUGGAUCAAGUUCGAGUAUAUAGCCUAAAUAGUCUAUAGUAUAUGAAAUAAAGGUUGGGCGCCUUAUUUUGAGAGACUAUGGAUGCGGCCCACUUUGUAGUACAAACGAUGUGAUCCUAAUCGUUCAUGUAGAGACAUGAAAGUGGGGGCAUCCUAUGUAAAAUGUUUACAUAAGACUGAACCAUGAAUUAGUCAUUUUUACGUUAUAACACCGUUUACUGUUUAAAACUGACUAUCUCAAUUAUUGAUGACCUAGGUAACUUAGUCUUAAUCCUGAGUUAACUAUGAACUCCUGUUCAUACGAGAUUAUCCUUAGAUCUGCAUAGGUGAGGGCAGCUCAUCAGCGUUGGCCCAAUAAGCCUCCCAUUUCAGGGGUAAGAUCGGGUGGAUAGCUGGGAACAUAGGGUACAAGAUGGAAUUCACUCCUACCCGCUUUAGGGUUAGUAGAUAGGUUGCUCUCUUAAGCACUGAAUCCAAGUCUUGAACAAGGGGCCCCACCCUCUCAUUGGCCCGAGAGGGAUUAAGUUUAUAGGUUGAACCUUAAACCAAUUGUUCAAUAGUGGAUUAGUGGGACUUAAGGAGCAAGAUGUAAUCUUGGGGGUAAAACGGUAUUUUGACCCAGCCAAGGUUACGAGCAACCUGUGAAGGAUUAACUUACUGAUUAUGGUUUUAUCAAAUGGACACAAAUAUAUCUAUAGUGAGGGGAGUGCAACUACGGGACUUUAGUGGAAUGACCCGUUAGUUAACGAAUGUUGAUUAACUCGGUUUAAAAGAGUUUAGCUAGUUAAUCUUGAAUCGUUGGAGCCCAUGAUCUAUAGGUCCAUUAGGUUCCUCUGCUAGCUCAUAUGGAUUAAACUUAGAACAGUGUGAUGAAAUAAGUCGAAUUGUUCGAAUAGGGAGAAGAAAGGAAAACCGACAUAUACAGUGAUAUAAUCGUCGGUCUUCUAAUUAGAAAUAGAGCUUUAUGUUUUACAUACUAUAAGUAUGAAUGCGGAUUCAUACUAAGAAGCUCGGAAUUGGUCAAAAAUAGUAAAAAGUCAAAAUGUUGACUUUUGACUUUGAAAAGUCAAACUUUGACCGGCCUUAUAUUCAAAUGUGAUUUGAAUUUUGGAAAAAUGAAUGCGGAUUCAUGCUCGGGAGGUUGGAAUUAGUCAAGACGGACAAAAUGGUAAAAAGUCAAAAUAUUGACUUUUGACUUAGAAAAGUCAAAGUUUGACUUUUGACUAGAAAAAUCUAAUGACCAUUUUACCCUUGGACUAAGUUAGUGGGAAAAUCCAACAUUUUGUUGGAUAAUCCCACUAACUCUUAGUGGGAUAUGUGGCUAUAUGAGAUAUAGACACCUAGCCCACUAAGUUCCACUAAUUGUUAGUGGAAUAUUAGGUGUUGAGAUUUGGCAAUUGAAUUGCAUGCAUUUUUGCAUGUAAUUAGGCUAUAAAUAGAGAUGUUUUCAAAUGUUGAAGGACUUUUGCCUCUUUUAUCAUUUUCAUAAUCUCAACAAAAGAAAAAAGAAAGCUUCCAAUCUCAUUUUAUCUCCAUUACUUUCUACACCAAAAUUGGGUCCCACAACCCGGUUCUUUGUCUAGAGGAUAGCAGUUGAGUACUAGUGGUGGUCUCGGGUAGAAUUGGUAAGAAGACAUCAAACCUUUUGAAAGCUUCAAAGGUAAUACUUCUUAAAACCCUAAUUUGAUUAGUUUAUGGUUAGAUGUUAAUUGUGGCAAUUAGGGUAGAAAUUCGAUUCUUUUUCCGCUGUGCAUGAAUUAGUUCUAUCAAUAUAUAUAUAUAAAAAGAAAAAUAUUAGGAUUCAAUCCCAACUCCUAGCUCAAUCUCAACUCCUAAGAUUUGUUGGUUUGUUGAGAAGUAGAAGGAGAAGUUGGUGAUGGAUGCAUUUCUUACCCUAUAAAUAGAUAACAAAGUUGAGAGCAAAAAUCAUUCCCUUCUUCAUCAUCACUUUUUGGCUUUCAAAAGUUUUUCGAAUUUUCUUUUUUAUGAAUGGUAGCAACUCAAAGAAAAGAAGAUUUUUUUUUUUUUAAUUCAAGUUAUUUUCACUUUACUAUUUUUUAUAUAUAUAUUUUUUCAUAUGUAUUUUCUUUUCUUUUUUCAUUUUCUUUUUCCCUUUUUUUUAACUGACUUUCACUUUGGCCAUUUUUUUUCAGUCAUUCCUUGAAGGCUCUAUGCAAGUAUCUUGGCUUCAUGGGUUUGUACAUGAUAGACGAUGCAACUCUAUCAUGGCGUCUAUACAACUCUAUCAUGGCGUCUACUGUUUCUUCGGGUUCUGCUUCUUGGGUUUGUACAUGAUAGACAAUGCAACUCUAUCAUGGCGCCCACUGCUGUUGCGACUUUUUGGGUUUGUACAUGAUAGACGAUGCAACUUUAUCAUGGCGCUCAUUGCACAUAUUGGGUUUGUACAUGAUAGACGAUGCAACUCUAUAAUGGCGCCCACUGUUGCUGCGACUUCUUGGAUUUGUACAUGAUAGACGAUGCAACUCUAUCAUGGCGCCCAUUGUUGCUGUGACUUCUUGGGUUUGUACAUGAUAGACGAUGCAACUCUAUCAUGGCGCCCACUAUUUCUUCGGCUUCUGCUUCUUGGGUUUGUACAUGAUAGACGAUGCAACUCUAUCAUGGCGCCCACUGCUGCUGCGACUUUUUGGGUUUGUACAUGAUAAACGAUGCAACUCUAUCAUGGCGCCCAUUGCUGCUAUGACCUCUUGGGUUUGUACAUGAUAGACGAUGCAACUCUAUCUUGGCGCCCACUAUUUCUUCGGCUUCUGCUUCUUGGGUUUGUACAUGAUAGACGAUGCAACUCUAUCAUCGCGCUCAUUGCUGCUGUGACUUCUUGGGUUUGUACACGAUAGACGAUGCAACUCUAUCAUGGCGCCCACUACUUCUUCGACUUUUUGGGUUUGUACAUGAUAGACGAUGCAACUCUAUCAUGGCGUCCAUUGCUGCUGUGACUUCUUGGGUUUGUACAUGAUAGACGAUGCAACUCUAUCAUGGCGUCCACUGCUGCUGCGACUUCUUGGGUUUGUACAUGAUAGACGAUGCAACUCUAUCAUAGCGCCCAUUGCUGCUGUGACAUCUUCGGUUUGUACAUGAUAGACGAUGCAACUCUAUCAUGACGCCUAUUGCUUCUUCGACUUUUUGGAUUUAUACAUGAUAGACGAUCCAACUCUAUCAUGGCGCCUACUGCUGCUGCGACUUCUUGCGUUUGUACAUGAUAAACGAUGCAACUCUAUCAUGACGCACAUUGUUGUUGUAACACGUCGAAGAAGAUGAAGAUAAAUUCUCCCGGCUGCAACAUAUGUGAGAAUGAAGAUGAUGAUAGUUGCUGCAACACGUCGAAGAUGCUGAUGAUGACGGCUGCUGCAACAGAUCGAAGAAGAUGAAGAUAAAUCCUCUCGGCUACAAUACAUCGAAGAAGAUGAAGAUGAAUCCUCUCGACUGCAGCAUAUGUGAGAAUGAAUAUGAAUUCUCUCGACUGUAACACCUAAGAGAAAAUGAAGAUGAUGACAGCUAUUGUAACACGUCGAAGAUGCAGAUGAUGACGGCUGCUACAACACGUCAAAGAAGAUGGAGAUGAAUCCUCUCAGCUGCCACAUAUGUGAAAAGAUGAAGAUCCUCUCGACUGUAACACGUGGGAAGACGAAGAUGAGGAUAGCUGCUGCAACACGUUGAAAAUGCAGAUGAUGACAACUGCUGCAACAUGUGAGAGAAGAAGAUGCUCCACUCUCAGCCACAACACUUGAGGAAAAGCUAGAGCUUACUAAUUUGACUUUGCCCCCUUUCUUUUCUGUUGUAACUCCUCAUGAAUUUCAUUUUCUAUUGAGAUUACAUCAUCGCGGCGAAACAUAAUACCUUUUUUUUUUCGUUCGACUGAACUCAAAGUAAACUUUAAGUUGCCUACGUACCCUUUUUUUAUAACAUAAAGAUGAAGUCAUAACGUAGUUCAAUUGAGUUUUUUUUUUUUUUUUUUGUCAUUCACCUUUUGAGCUCUUGUGGACUAGGAGCAUCAUGCAGUUUAGGUUCUUGCGAUAAGGAGCUUUAAACAUUUAACAAAUAUUUUCAUCAAAAAAUUUGUUCACCUUCAUUUGUAGAAUUAGUGAAUAUAAUAAUUUUUGGCUUCACGAUCAAGGGACCUUCUGUGUUUAUGUCAACAGAUAACUUCCUCUUCAUGCGUGAUAGGACACAACUGCGUAUCUUCUCACCAUUGUUUUCUUCAUGAAGUGAUUUUACCUUCAAAGUUUUCAUCUCUUUUUCAUGUUGAUCGUUUGUCAUAUUUAGUCGAUUAAAAACAGAUGUUGAAGGUUGAUCUUUCUUUGAUGUGGAGAUACUUAGCCUUUUGAAAGCUGAAGUUCGAGUGGAAGUAGAUGUUGAACAUUGAUUUUCUUCUUCUUUCGUGGCCAUACUCAAUCUUCGAAAGACUGAAGAUCGAGUAGUUGAAUGCUUGAUACGAUCAAAGACAGAAGUCCUUUGCUUAAUUUCAUGUGAAUUGUCGAUUUCUUCAAAAUAUGCAUAAUUGUUGUCGACUUCUGUUAUACUGACGACAUGACAUGCAGUGACUUCUAAUACUUCCUUGGGAUGAACAUCAAGAAAGCUUCUUGGGAGGAAUUCUCUCAAAGUUAUCGACCGUCGAGGCCGACAGAAGUCCUCGUCUUUUUCCUUCACAGACUUAGGCUUCCACAUCUUGUUUCUUUUUGCUUUCUUUUCAUGGAAGAUGUUUCCUUUUGCAUGCUUUUGACGGAAUGACGACUCUUUUUUAAUGGAAUUUGGUUGUCUUCCUUUUCGAUGAGUCACAACUAUCCAUCCUUCGUCAUCAUCUUCAACAUGCUCUUCUUUGUUUUGGGAGUUUGUCGUCACGAUCCUUUGUUGGAAUUGGACAACUGUAGGUUCAAAAGUCCAAAACUGAAUUAAGCUUUUCCUUUGAUCAUAAAUUUGUGUUGAUGGUGGAACACUUGAAGUCAUCUUGACUGCAACAUGAUUCAUCUCAGCUAAUUCAUCAAUAUCCAGCUCGAUCUUCUUUUCACGAGCUAACUUUAGAAUCAACUCUUUUAACACGAAACACUUUCCAACAGGGUGACUAAUGACCCGAUGAUACUUACAGUAUUUAGGAUCAUUUACUUUUUCUGCUUGUUUCGGUCGUUUGCAUUCUGGCAGUUGAAUAAGUUGCUUAUCUAGAAGCUGCUCUAGCAUGUCUGCAACAUCAGAGUCAGGAAAUGGAUAAACUUUUUCCUGUCUUUCUUUAAGAGUUGAGCGUUGCUUUUCCUCGCUAUCACGCUUUCCUUCAAUUUUUGUUUCUUUUCUUUUAGAGAAAUAUUUCAAAGGGGUUGCAUGAACAACCAUAGACUCGUUUAUGACACUAUUUGCAAUCAUUUUAGUGUCAUCAGUUUCAUUCUUGUCACUCCUCAUUUUUGGAACCAAGAAAUCUUUUGCUCCUCUGCGUGUGAUACUUAGUUUCAUAUCAUGGGCACGAGUCUUCAAACGUGCGUGGUUUUAUCCCCUGCAAAAUAUAGAGAAGUUCCCAAUGCAUGCCUUGGGUGCACAUCUCAACUGCAAAAAUUUUUGUGAGCUUGUCUUUACAAUCCAAGCUUAGAGCUCUCCAUCGGUUUAUGUAGUCGAUAACUGGCUCCCUCUUUCGUUGUUUGGUGUUUGUCAACUCCAUCAUGCUGAUGAUACAUCGGGUGCUGUAGAAGCGAUUGAGAAAGUCUCCCUCAAGCUGCUCCUAACUGUCAAUGGAUUCAUGUUCCAGGUCGAUGUACCAGUCGAAGGCGUUUCCUUUUAGAGUUCGAACGAACUGUUUUACCAACAAAUCUCCUCUCGUACCAGCCGUUUCACAUGUUUCAAUGAAGUGAGCAACAUGUUGUCUUGGGUUACCGUUUCCAUCAAACUGUUGAAACUUUGGUGGUUGGUAUCCAUUCGACAUUCUGAGAUUGUCGAUCCUCUUCGUAUAUGGUUUGGAAUACAAAGAGAGAGUUUGAACAGGUCCACCGUAUUGAGUUUUGAUGGAGUUUGCAAUCAUUUCCUGUAACUGCUGAACAGACAGCGAUGCAAUUGAAGUCGAAUUUUGUGGAUGACUUUCCUGCAUAAUUGCCUUCCCUUUGUCAUUAUUUUUGACAGUAUGUGUAUGGUUUGACUCAGCAGCAUCACGAUGUUCGAUGUGAUUCUUGAGAGAUGCAAUCUCAUUAUCCUUUUCUUCAACGACCUUCAUGAGUAUGUUGAUCUUCUUUUCCAGCUCAGCCAUUCUGUCUUCAUUUGUAUCAACGCCAGUCACUAUAACUGGCAUGAUAUUUGGAUGAGGCAUCUCCUCAUUCGAGCGUUCACAGGAGGAAAUUUGUUCGUCAAUCAAAGGAUUUUCUUUGAUUAUAAUUCCACCUUUUGGUAGUUUGGACAGUUAUUCCCAAAUGUUCUUUGCGGCCUCAAAGGAUGACAUUUCCUCAGAUGAUUGAGUCUCCCUUGAGCGGCCACGAGUAUUUGACUACUUGCCGAUGUCACUUGAAGCUUUGGAAGUAUUGCCUUGAGAUGUCAUGAUAUCUUUAGACGUUCUUCAAAAGAGAAAGAGAUGAAAGGUAGAGAUCGUCCCACUGGGCGUGUCAAACUGUUCACACGAGAUUUCGAAGAAAUGUAUUUCGUGAAAUUGAAUUUUGUUAUAUUGAUGAAUAUUGUGAAUACAAUCUCUAGUAUUUACUCAUUUGAUGUUUUCUCUUGAAUACAAGUUAAAAACUUAGAAUUUCUUGAUCUUCAGUCUUUAGGAUGUUGUAGUUGCAAGUCUAUUUGAGCUUCAGUCUUCUGGAAUUCAAGGAAAGUUUGAUCUUCCAAGUCUUCAAUCUUUCAGAAGAUGAUGAUCUCGAAGUUGAUAAGAACUUGCACGUCUUGAGAGCUUUAUAGAAGUUUGAAUCUUCAAUUCUUUAGAGCUUUAGUACUUCAGAGCUUCAAUUCUUCCUUCAACAAGAGACCAUCCUCAAAUGAAUGACAAAGGUCUCUAUUUAUAGAGAAAUUUUGUGAACUUUAGAUGGGCUUUGGCCCAUUUGCUUGUUGAGAUUGGACUUUGACCAAUUUGCCUGUUGGGCUUAGGUUUGGACUUAUUUGCCUUAUUGAGUUUGGACUUGGACUUGGGCUCAUUUGCUUUAUUGGGAUUGGGUCUAUCUGCUUGUUGAACUUGAAUUGGGUUGGAUUGAGUAAAUUUAACUAUCAAAAUCCAAUAAAAUAUAAUUAUCGAAUAUUUGUUGUGAUGAUGUGACAAAUUUAAUUGGCCAAAAUUUCUUGCUCAACAAAUAGAUAUUCAUUAUACUCCAUAUACGUCAUUCCCUUAACAUUCCACCUAAUGUGUCGUAUAUCUUGAAGAAUGUCUAUUACCACGUGUCACUCCUUCCACACCCCAUCUAAUCUACUACAUACUUUUGCCAAAUUGCCUAAUAUACCAGAAAGUGGAUUUUGUAAGAUACACGUAUUUUUGCUAAAUAAAUGGGGGAGAGUGGAGUAUUUUUACAUUUUUUAUUUCUUAUUUUCUUAAUUUUAUCUAUAUAUAAUAUUAUAUUUCCUCAUGAAAUAAAAGGGAAGAAUUUGUUUAAUUAUAUAUAUUUACAUGUGUUUUCAAAUAAGUUAUCAAUAAAUAAUAAAUUAGUUUUAAAAUUAAAAACAAAUAUAAUUAGGUUUAGAAUCUCUCUUAUAUCUAUGUGUAAUCUUGUUUACUGAUAGAAAAGAGUUGAAUACAUAUUCAUAUUUGUUUUUCGUUGAAUUGAAUUAAAAUUGUGUUGAUUUCGUAUGGUAUGUUUAAAUUUAUAGCAUUGAUUUGGUAUGAUAUGUUUAAAUUUAUAGUGUUUGAUCCUCUAAUUCUCUCUUGAUCAAAUGCGUAUGUUUGAUGUAUGGACGCGGAUAGCGAUUGAGUAUUCUUUCUUUGUCAAUCGUGUAUUCUCUUUAGGUUUUUUGGGUAAAAAAUUUAUGAACUUUAAACGAAGAGAGCUACUCUAUUUAUAGAGAUUUCUUUAAUGGGCUUUAUGAACUUGAACAUAGUUGGUCCAUAGAUGAAACAUCUAAGUCCAACCAUAUCAAUUUGGGUCUUGUUUAUCGUUUGAACUACAUUAAGUAUCUAACUUAAAUUGAACUUUAAAUCAAAUAAAUAAUAUUUAACUAUACCAAAAUAAUAAAUUUGAUCAAAUGAUCAUGAUGAAAAACAUGUGGCGUCAUCAAGAUUUUUUCAUUUAUGUGUUCUGUUUCAAUUUGGUAUAGAUGUCAACUUUAAUUAAUCUCAAGUUCAAUUAUUUGUAUUUUUUAUCGUUAAUUUGGUAAAUAACGUGACAAUUUAUGAUUGACCCAAACAUUUUCCUUCAACCAUAUUGUCAAAUAAGUUAUAUGUGAUAUUUUUUAAGAAAAAUAAUUAAAAAAUUAAAAAAUUAUCUUUUAAAAUUAUAUUUGUAUGUGUUCUCAAAUAUGCAAGCAGCAAGAUGCUAUAGUUUUCAAAAUUUAAAAAUAAAAAUAAAAUGGUUACCUACAGUCUUAAUUCAAUUGAUGUUUUUAUAAAAAAAUUCAAACCAUCUAAAAAGUUGUUACUAUUAUAUAUGAAAAUAAAUUAAAUAUUGAGUUAUUUACUAAUUUCUAAUUUCGGAGGAACAGUGUACAAUUUUUUUGGUGUAUAAUACUUACUCUUCUAAUUAAGUUAUUAGUAAAUAGUUAUAUUUGUUUGUAUUAGAAAUAAAAUUGAAAAGAAAAACGAAAUAUAUGUAUUUAUACGUAAAAAUGUGUACAAAUCAGUAAAUAUACAAAAUAUUUACAGCACGAGUAAUAAAAUGAAAAAACUUAUGAAACGAUACAUUUUUUUAAAAUUAUUUUAGAUUUAUCCUUCAUUUUCAUUAUCUUUCUUAUCGUGAUUUUUUUUUCUCAUGGUUUUUUCUCUUCUUUUAAUAUUUUUCUUUUAUUUUUCUAAAGAGUUAUUUGGUUACCAAAUAUAAAAGAUAUAUUUUAAAAAAAAAUUUCAAACCAUUUAUUUAAUUAUUUCAAAUAUAAAAUAUCUUGAAAUAUUGUUGAAGUAUUCAGUUUAGGCUAACUAAAUUUAAAUUUGGGAGCAACAUCUAAACUAUCCGAUAAAGAAGAAUAACAAAUCUAACUAUGAUUUUCCAAAUAUAUUAGGUGGUUGCUAAUUAUUCACAUAGCAUCUUUUUUUGUAAUUUUUGACAUUUUCCUAUUUUUGUAAUUUUUGACAUUUUCCUAUUUUUGUAAUUUUUGACAUUUUCCUUAUAAACAUUUUACCAUUAAAAGACCUUUGUGUAAAAUUAAUAAUUAAGAAAAAAAAAACAAAAGAUACGAAGACAAAAUAUCAUUGUUGAAAGAUCCGAUAGCAAAAGAAAAAUAUAACAUUAAAUGAAAAGAAGGCAUGAAUUUUUAUUUGAAAAAAAUACAUGCACAAAAAAGAAGCAGACGAUAUGAAGAAAAAAUAUGAUUGUGUCCAAAAAUUAAACGAAAAAAGAGAAAGUAAUCAAAUUGAAAAGAAGAAAAAAAAAAAAAAGACGAAUGAUGAAUGAUGCAAUGUAUAAGUAGGAAGCAACGUUUGUAUUUAUUUUUAAAUUUUAUUUUAGUCUCUUGAGAUGCAUUUCGAGAAGAGAAAGAGUCAUGGAGAAAAUGAUUAUGAUUCGGAUAUAUGUAUUUGAGAGAAUGUAUGAUAGUGUUAGGAUAGUAUGUGUUUGAGAGAAAGAUUAUGAAUAAUAGUGUUAUGAUAGUAUACGAAGGAUUAUGUGAGAAAGAUUAUAAAAAUUAUUAUUUUUUAAAAAUUCAUAUUCAAAAUCAAAUACCAAAUUGUCAUAUAUUCAUAAAACAAGUUGGAUUAGUUUUCUUAGAUAUGAUGUCCAUUUUCAUCGUCUUGCACGUUUCGUGCCAAUAAAUUAUUUUUAUUAUUUUAAAUUUAAACACACAAGUUAUAUAUAUUUAAGUUACCAAAUCAUCUUACUUUUUUUGUAAAAUAAUUAAAUUUCAUAUGUUUAACAAUUGAUUUAAACCAAAUACGAACACCAUAAUUUCAUGAAACAAUAUACGAAAGAACAAAAUAGUUUUUAGAAAAAUAGUUAUAAACUGAAGUCAAUUACAUAAAACAUAGUGCAAAAGCAAAAGUUAUUAUUAUUUUUAAUAAAUUUAUAUUCUAAUUCCAAUAUACAAAUUUCAUAUAUUUAAUUUACCAAAUCAUUGUAGUUUUCAUAAAACAAUUUACAGUAAUUUCUUUAAAUAUCACAUCAAUUUUCAACAUAUUUUGCGUAAUGGUUACGUGCGAUUAAAUUGUUAAUUUUUUAAAAUUUAUAUUCUAAAUUCAAUACACAAAUUUUGUAUAUUUAAUUUAUUAAAUUAUCCUAAUUUUUAUAAUGCAUGAUAAAAAAGAAAAUUUGGGACAAGGAGUGUAAUUAAAAUAAAUUACCUAAUUCAAGAGUAAAAGAAGAAAUUAAAAUUUUAAAUUAAUGUAAUUGUAGCCAAUGUUGUGUUUUUUAGAUAGAAAGAAAAUAAAUUAAAUAAUAUUUAAAAUUGAAAUUGAUUAAUUAUAAAUAUGGAAUGAUUGAGAUGCAUUGAUGAAAGAAUAAGGAAGGAUUGGGUAAGAAACCAGGAAUGAGUGAGGAAAUUGAGGAAAGGUUAUCAAACCCUUCCCCAAACAAUUACAACUCUUUCCCUCCCCAAACACACCUUAUGUGAUAUAGAAAUGAAAACUUAAAAAAAAAAAAAAGUCAAUGGUGAUUUGAUUAUAUAUAGAUUUAAAGCUGUUAAGAAAAAAGAAAAAAGCAGAAGAUGGAGUCCAUUUUAAUUUUUGAAAAGUAUUAAUAGAAGUAGUAUUGUAAUAUUUAUGGGUAAUAUAUAACAAGAAAAUGACAUAAUUAAAAGUAAAGCUGGACACAUUUGACUUUGUAAAUAGAGAAGAAAAUUUGGUUGAAGGGAAAAAGGGAAACAGACAAACCAAGAUUCAAAAUAGCUGGCACACGGAAGAAAAGCAUUGGCCCAUGUGCCAUUUAAUUACUUCCAACUUGCAACUCACCUUUUCUUUUUUUUUUUUUCUUUGCUAAUCCUAAUUCCAAAUGUUUUAUAUAUAUAUAUAUAUAUGAAUGUAAUCCACAUGCAAAUAGUAAUUUAGAGAUCCUUCCAAUAAUGUAAACAAAAAUAAUUACACCAUUUAAUGGUCCAUUAUUCUCUCAAUAGUGUAAACAAUAGAAUUAAAAAUCUGCCAUUGAAAAUUGGUUGAUAUCUAAAACACAAUAUUUUAAUCAUUUAAAGAUAGAUAGGUUUGGAAAAUGAAUUUGAAUUGGGUUAGAAAGAUUUAAAAGAAAUAGAAAAAUAGUUUUAGAAAUCGUGUAUGUAUUGGAAAGAUGAGAGACAGUGUUAUUCUAUUCCUCUAAACCUCCUCAGGCAGCAGCCCUUGUAAGAUGGUCCCCUCCUGCCCCUCCCUUUUUCAUGUUUGUCCUCGCUGUAUAAUUAUUUACUUCUUUAUAUGUUAUUUGUUCAUUUUUCAAAAUUAAGGUACAUAUUCUACCAAAUUAUUAUUACAAAUUCACUAAUUAUAUAUGUAUAUAUAUUAAAUUCAGCAUUUAUUAUUAUUAUUAUUAUUAUUUUGUUUAUUCUAAGAGAAAAUCGUAAAAAAAUAUAUGAUAAAACGGACACAAUAUUUAUAAUAAAAUCAAUGUAGACAUUUUUUGUCCUUUUGUAAAUAUUUUUGGUACAUUGUUAAUUUUUUUUUUUUUCAUUUUUCUUUUCGUUCAACAAGAGCAAAAACAAAGUAUGUUAAUUAAUUUACAGGCUUAGUAUCCUUUAAAAUUUACAUACAAUACAUCCAUAGCCUCUAACUUAUCCCUCAUUUUAAAUGAAAAGUUGAAGAACAAUCCAUCAAAAUUUUGAACUUUUUUUUUUUCUUUUAACACUCAAAGAUAAAACUAAAACUAUGUUAUAUGUUUUGAUAAAAAUAGAAAAACUUGCAAACUUUUCCUCAUUCAAGAGAGAGAAAGAUUCUGCCACUCUGAACCACUCAUUCGGUUCAUAGUUUUUAGAAGCAUAUUAUUAUUACUCAUUUGCAUUUUUUUAAAAAGGAAAAAAUAUAGAACAUGAAGUGGUAGUGGAGAAGAUCAUAAAUUGAAAAAUUAACCAAGAUUGUGGAAUCUGUUUUACAGAGACAAGAAGAAGGAAGGAAGGAAGGAACAGAGAGACGAGAACGAUCAAAUACCAAUUUUAAAACGAUUCAAAAACUGAGUACUGCCGUCUUCAUUUUCAUCUCAUCCUCAUUUCUUCAUUUCAAAAACCUCCGUACGCUUCGCCGCUUUCAUCUAUGGCCAUGCCUUUCCCUCUCCAUUCUUCUUCUUCCUCUUCUUCUUCCUCUUCCUCUUCCUCUUCCUCUUCCUCUUCCCUUCUUGUCACUUUCUGCCCCCACCUCUAAUCCCACUUAACCCCUUUUUUUAAUCCCUUCUUAAUUAUUAUUUUAUUUUUCCUCCUUUGUAUAUAUCGCUCCCUCCAUUUCCAUUUCCAUUUCCCUCUCUCAAACUCUCUUCCUCUUUGGCCCCCCUCUCUUCUAAGAUUCCUUCGGCCUGCCGAGGGAUUUGAGUUUUCAGGUCUGUUUUCUUUCUGUGUUUCUCCUUUUUUCCUCAAUUUCUGGAUCCCCUUUUCUUUUCUUUGUUUUGUUUUGUUUUUUAUUUCAUGUCUGAUUUCUUACCCUUUUUAUCUGAUUUCUUUGUCCAUGUCUUUCCUGGGUUGUUUUCAUUUUGGGUUUUUUCAUACCAUGAAUGAGAUUAGUGUUUCUACUAAUAAUGUAUGUUCUUCAUCGCAAUGUAUUCAACUCUUUUUUGUUUGAGUUCUAAUGUUUUUUUGGAUUUGCGCAUCUGUUUUUGCUUUUACCUUUUCUCCAUAAACUUUAUCUGCUCUUUUGAAAGGAGGUGUUUUUUUUUUUUCUACUGUAUGAAUUCUUUGGUAACAUAGACCAUUUAUGGAUGAGAUUUGUUUUUCCUUGUAUCAGCUUUAGGAUUUUUUGUUUGUAGUUUAGAUCCUUGUGUAUUUCUGCAGUUUACUUUGUUCUGGGGUUGUUUGCUGCGGAUUUUGUUCAUAGUUUAUUGAGUUGAUGAAAAUUUAUUAGGGGAAAUGACGGAGCCAAAGCCAUCCACACCUUUGCUAAGCACAAAAGCACCAUCCUCGAGAAGCCUUCCUGAUUUUAAGAAGUCUGUCAAACUGAAAUAUGUGAAACUUGGCUAUCACUACCUUAUCACCCAUGGAAUGUACCUCUUCCUUUCUCCUUUGGUAGUUGUGAUCGCGGCGCAGCUUUCGACAUUUUCCCUUCAAGAUCUUUAUGAAGUUUGGGGUCAUCUUCAAUAUAAUUUAGUUUCUGUAAUUCUUUGUUCUACCCUCCUUGUUUUCUUGUCUACCUUGUACUUUCUUACCCGUCCUCGCCCUGUUUACCUUGUUAACUUUUCGUGCUACAAGCCUGAUGAAUCUCGUAAAUGCACGAAGAAGAUUUUUAUGGAUCAAUCUCAUAUGACGGGGACAUUUACGGAGGAGAAUCUUCAAUUCCAAAGGAAAAUCCUUGAGAGAUCUGGCCUUGGGGAUUCAACCUAUCUUCCUGAGGCUGUUCUCAAUAUUCCUCCAAACCCCUGCAUGGCAGAAGCUAGAAAAGAAGCUGAAAUGGUGAUGUUUGGUGCCAUUGAUGAGCUUUUAGCCAAGACAAGUGUGAAACCAAAAGAUAUCGGUAUCUUGAUUGUGAAUUGUAGCUUGUUCAAUCCAACACCGUCGCUUUCUGCUAUGGUCAUCAACCACUACAAGCUGAGAGGAAACAUUAUUAGUUACAAUCUUGGUGGAAUGGGUUGCAGUGCAGGUCUUAUUUCUAUUGAUCUUGCCAAACAGCUGCUUCAGGUCCAUCCCAAUUCCUAUGCCUUGGUUAUUAGCAUGGAGAACAUAACAUUGAACUGGUACUUUGGGAACGACCGAUCAAAGCUUGUCUCUAAUUGCUUGUUUCGGAUGGGUGGAGCAGCAAUAUUGCUUUCAAACAGAAGAUCUGAGAGAAGGAGGUCCAAAUAUCAAUUAAUACAUACUGUUCGUACCCACAAGGGAGCAGAUGAUAAGUGCUUUAGCUGUGUUACUCAGGAAGAGGAUUCAACUGGGAACAUUGGUGUCACUUUAUCGAAAGACUUAAUGGCAGUUGCAGGUGAUGCAUUGAAGACUAACAUCACAACGUUGGGCCCUCUUGUGCUGCCAAUGUCUGAACAGCUUCUCUUCUUCGGUACUUUAGUUGGUAAGAAACUCUUCAAAAUGAAGAUCAAGCCUUACAUCCCUGACUUCAAACUAGCAUUUGAACAUUUCUGCAUCCAUGCUGGGGGAAGAGCAGUUUUAGACGAAUUGGAGAAGAACUUGCAGCUGUCUGAUUGGCAUAUGGAGCCGUCAAGGAUGACACUCUACCGAUUUGGCAAUACAUCGAGCAGUUCUCUUUGGUAUGAAUUGGCAUAUACAGAAGGGAAAGGUAGAAUGAAGAAAGGAGAUAGAACAUGGCAAAUAGCAUUUGGUUCAGGAUUUAAGUGCAAUAGUGCAGUCUGGAGAGCUUUAAGGACCAUAAAUCCAGCUAAAGAAAAGAACCCAUGGAUGAAUGAGAUCAACCAGUUUCCAGUUGAUGUUCCUAAAAUUUCAACCAUUUGAAAACUUAUUAUUAACUCUUUUAGUUUUUCAUUCAUUUUAGUCUCCUCUCUAAUUUGGGGUGCCAAGAUCGUCCAUUGAUUUUCCUGUGCUGAUAUUAAAGAAUUGACAUUUUUCUCUUCUUUUAGGCCAGAAUUAUAGAGAGGUAGAUUGCUUUUGUUGAGAGCAGAACAUUGCAUCUUUGUAGAUGCUUUGGGAAAGCUUCAUGUCUUGAUUUGUAUUGUGGGGAUUGGAAUUUGGAACUGUUCAAUUCAGCAGACAUUUUGGAUGGAUCAUUCAAUUCUACUGCUUAAAACUCUAUGCUUGCUUUGUUGAUUCUAGGGAUUGAAGCAUCAAAACCCAAUCCCAACUGGAUUUGAAAUUGUUACAAACUAUGACAAUGAUUAUUCAAAUAUCUGUUAUGAUACAGCUUAUGAAAUUCAAGAAUUGAGCUUUGUGUUUAGUUUCGGUUUAGGUUUCAGUUUCGAUCGAAGACCCUCCACCCACAUUCUGUCCUGUUUUGCUUCUUAGCAGGCAAAAAUGAGACUAGGAUGACAGUGCUAUUCCAACCAUUGAAGAUCAAGCUCAAAAGAUCAAGCUCUUUCCCACAAGAAACCUUAACCAGCAAGUUUUAAACACAUGACUUAUUCAUCUUAUGCUGUACACUUCCAUCUUUCCUUUUUAUUAUUAUUGCUUAAAGUUGAGAAUCUGGAAUGAGAAUUAUGCUCCAUAUAUUCCUUUUCAUGUGUAUAUAUGUUUGUGGGAAUGUAUCUCUUUUUGUAUGAAGAAUUUAUUUCUGGAGAUUCAAGCCAAAUCAUGAUUAAGUUUAUGAUAUUGGUGAAUGAGGCAUAUCUAAUUAGCACACAAAAAAAGGAAUUAAUGUUAGCUUUUUUUAAACUUGUGGGUCAAAUUUUUUCCACUAAAAUAAGUUUAAAUUUUGUGACGGGGCCCACUUUAAUUUUAAAUCAUCCUUGUGGACAUGUGAAUGAGCGAUACAUGCUGCCAAAAAAGUAAAAAAAAUAAGAAAGCCAGCACCAAACAGGAAGGAUUCAUCUGUCCAAAUCAUGAGAUAUAUGGUCAAACUUUUUUUAUAUAGACAAGAGAAGAGCAAUUAUUUAUAUAUAUCAGUUAACUGAAAAAACAGAGCACGGUCUCCUUAAGACUAAAGUGCCAAUAAUGACUUAUAUUUUACGGAUAUUUUAAAAAAUGAAACAAACCGAUAAACAUUUUACCGUACAUAAUAAAAAAUAAAAAAUACAAAAAGAAAAGUUUCAAACAUCUUAUUAAUUAGCCAUGCUUAUUUUGUUUUCUAAAUAUAGAAAAUGUUAUAGAUUUGCUACUUGUACCAAAAUCUUUUUAACAAUUUUUUUCAAUAUUUUUUUUUAUAUUUGAUACACGAUCUUGUGUCAAUUUGGAUUGUGUAGUAGCAAUUUUUUUUUUAAAAAUCUUUUAUAUUUCGUAUAAAAAAAUAUAAGAGAAAAAUAAAGAAAAAAGAUGAGCAAAAAGGCCAAACCAAAAACAUUUAAAAAUUAGUCCCUUUCCUAGACUUUUUAAAUUUGUUACACAUAUCACAAAUAUUAUGAUAUUUAGUAAUAUUUAUGAAAAUUAAUUCUAUUUAAUAAUAUUUAUAUCAAAUACUCCAUAUUAAAUAUGUAUUUAAUAAUAUUUAUAUCAAAUACUCCAUAUUAAAUAUGUUUUUAUUUUUUCUAUUUAAUGCGAGUGUGAAAAUAAUUGGCUAAGUACGUUAUUAACUGUACCUUUGAGAGUAAAUGUUAUAGGCUUACAAGGUGAAUUCAAUUUUAUUAUUGUAUGUUGACCAUUGUGACUAACAUGGUGCUUUUACUUUAUGAACCUAUAAUUACAAACUAGCACUCUAAAAGAUUUGCUAUUUUUUCCCUAUUUUUUUUAAAAAUCUUUAAAAAUCUCUAUAUAGACUCAUACUAAUUGAUCAAAUUAAUGGAACACCUUCUCAAAACCUCUUCCUACCAUGUUAUUGUAGUUGAUUAAGGAACUAUGUUAUUGGAAUAAACUCACAGAAAACCCUAUCUUGCUUUCGCUCUUUGUGACAAUCCAUUUUCCAAUCCCAUCAAACACAAUAACCUCCCCCACUGUGAAUCAAUCACUCAUUGCUUUGAUGUUAUGUAAACUUGCAGGAAUCAAAAUUUGUGGUCUGGUAAGAUUUGGUGUGUAAUCAGCUUGAGAUAUACCAAACACCCUCACAACAAUCAAUAAAUUAGAAGUUUUUUCAACUAAAUUUUGGUGAUCUAUCUCCCGAGAUUGAUCGAGAAAAACUAUUUGAAUGAGUUUUUAAAAAGUUUGCUAGUUUUUCAAGAUAAAAUCUUCAAAUGGACUAUUGGUUCUCAAACUGAGUAGAGUGAUCCAAUCCAUGUUUAGGUUAUCAUAAUCCUAGAAUUAGGAUUAGAACUAGAACUAUUUGUUUCUCAUUUGUCAUUAUUCUUCACUCUCCUUUUCACUAUUUCUCACAAUCCCACCUCUCUCCUAUGUCACUAUUACUCACUCCUUCCUUUCACUAUUUCAAUUUUUUCAAACAUAGAUGAUAAUAAUCUAAAUUAAUAAUAAUCUACACUCAAACACAGAUUAUUAUAAUAAUCUACUCCACACCCCAAACGCCCCCAACAUGUUAUUUUUAACAAUUUUUCAUCUAUAAUCAAUAUUUUGCAUAAUAAAAAUGAUUUUCCAAUAGUAGCAAGUUUUUGUAAUCUCAUACAGGUUAGAAACUAAAUUAUUUCUAAGUAAUAUUUUCAAAAGGUUAAAUUAUAUAUUUGGUUCAUAAACCUUCAUCUGUCUGAUAGUUUUAUUGAUUCUUGAACUUUAACACGUAUUAAAUUUUUCAUUGUGUGUCAAAAAAAUAUAGAGCUUUAAGAAUAUAUAGUAAGUCGUCAACUUUGAUUAUUGUAUCUCCUUAAAUUUCAAAAGAUAUAUAAUUUAACUCUAAACUUGUCGCGACUGAAAUAUAUAUGCAACAUACUUUCUUUUUGUUUUGCAUUCUCUUUCAUAUAUAGUGUAUACUUUAUUAAUUUCUGAUUGAUUGAUAAUCGUUAUAUUACCUCCAUUUUUCAUAAGAUAUCUUAUAAAUGAAAAUCUUAAAAUUAGUUGUAAAUAAAUAUAUUAAAUAAUUAAUAGACUAAAUAUGUAAGUUUUAAUAUAAAUAAUAAAUGUGAAAUAAAAUAUUUAUGGCAAUAUAUUAUAAAUAUUUAUGGCAAUAUAUUAUAUAUAUUUUGAUCUUUCCACUUUCCAUGUUUUCUUUCUUUUUUCUCUAAUAUUUUCUUUUUUCUCUAAUAUUAAUAUUAAAUGUGGAUAAUUUUGUCAUUUGGGCUCAAUAUUUGUUAAAUUUGUAGCUCAUUAGGACUUUUACAAAAGUUAUGGUAAUAUUGUGUCCAAAAUAUAAAUAAAGAUCAAUAUUUAAAUUAUUCUAGUUAAAAGUCUUUACUCGAUUGAUUGGUUGCCUAAGAACCCUAGGUUCUAGCCAUAGAUGUCCAUUAAACCCGCAGGAACAUGUCUCGAACCGAACGGGAAAUCUCCGAAUACAUGGAGAAUGAGGGAGGGAGUGGGAAACUUUUUUCUUUUUUUCAUUUUGGCCACAUUGGGUCGGGGAUGGGAAAUACAUUCCCCGACCCCAACCUUGACCCCGCCCCAAUCUUUUGUCCUGUCCUAAACAAAAAUAUAGUUAAAUGUACAUGUGUAUAUGUAUACAUAAAUUAAAUAUAAAUAUAAAUAUUUAUUUAUUAACUUAUUUAAUAAUACAUAAAAUAGUAAAAAAAAACAUAUUUUGAUAUUGUUCCUUUCUUUUUUUUCUUUAUUCCGUUUCUCUAUUUUCCCCUAAUUCUAUUUCUAUGUUGUGAACUUUUCUUUAAUUAUCUACGUAUAUAUUGUAACUUCACUUGUGAUUUGUAAACUUUUGUUAAAGUUGUUGUGUUUAAAAAAUAGGUAAUCGAGGGCUUUGUUAAAAUACUUACGGAUUGAUCUUUGAUUCUUUUUUUAUGAAUUGUUUAAUUUUAUGGAUUGAUUUCUAAAUGUAUCUUUUAUAUAAUUGAAUUUUUAUUUUUAUAAACAAUUGAAAUUUGACCUUUUAAUUGUUUUAAAUAAGAAUAUGGAUAAUAUUCAAUUGAAAAUAAAACAACAUUGGAAAUGUAUAUACAUUUCAAGUAGAUGAUGCUUAGAAAAUGACACUACAAAAAAUUUUAGUUAUGAUAGCUUAAAAAAUAUGUUAUCGUUGACUUGCAAUAGCGUUUUCAAAAUGCUAUCGUAGCCCAUGUUAUUGAAAGUUCAUAACUUUUUCAUAUUGUUUUUUCAAUGCUAUAAAAAGCGCUACAAAUUUUUUUGUUGUGAUAGCACAUAUUUGUUGUUAUAAACUUUUCAUUCCGUGAAAAAAACGCUAUUAAAAUGUUUGGAUAGCAUUUUCUAUUGCGAUGAAAAAUCACUAUCAAAACGUUUCAAUAGCAAUUUUAAUUAUACUGAGAAAACGAUAUAAAAUUGUUUUUGUACAUGUUGUCCUAAUCAGUGUUUUUGAAAGUAUUCGACUUUCAAUAGCGUUUUUGUAGAGCUAUUAAUAGCAUCAUAGAAAGUUGAUAUAUGAUAACUUUAAUUCAAUAUUAUAGAAAUAUUCCAUUAUAUUUUUUAAAAAAAAAGUAUUAUAAAAAGUUUUUAUAGCAAUAAAAGAACGUUCUAUAGCGAUUUUAGAUACGUUAUCGAAAGUCUCUUAUUUUUGUUAGCAUUAUUCAUUUUAAACGGGAUGGAUUUUAGUGUUAAUGGACUUUUUUAUUUUACAAUUUGUUUUGCAAAUAAUAUUUUAAAAUCAAAUUAUAACCAUAUAAAUAUGUAUAAAAGUCAUUUGCCUAGGCAAAGAAAGAUAUAAUUAACAUUUCAACAAAAUCUACCGUAAUAAUUAUAAUAAAAAUGUUAAAAUUUCUAACAUACAAAAAAAAAUUAGCCUUGUAUUCGUUCAAAAUGUUUGAUAUAAUCAUCAAAAUUAAGUAUGUUCCAACAAAACUUUCAUACAAUUCGUUUCCUUCAUCAUCAUGGGUUCAGUCGAAGUUCGAUUCUCUAGCUUUGGAUUUUUAUUUAGAGACAUUUCAACUAUAUCCAUGAUUUCAGGAUUCCAAAAUCAUUGCGUCAGGUCAGGAUUCAGAACAAGCAAGAGACAAUCCGAUCCACGGAUGGCUGGACUAAUAUCCUAAACAACAAAAAAACACUAUAAUAUUUCACCUAAAAGAAACAACAGAAAACAAGCACCUUUUAGCAAAACUCACAAGAAUUAUUUAUUCACUUUUUCUUUCUAAGUUGACUAAGUAGUAAAACAAUAUCCAACCAAUUUACCUAUAAACAAAGAAAACAAAAAUGGGUGAUAGGGAUAGAGAUUCAGGAAGUAUUUCUACCUAAACAAGCAUCCACAUUUAGCUAGAUAUUUCCUUAUAAAAAGCUUGUCCUGCAACCACAACAAAACAUGCCAAGAAUAAGCUAGAAUGGAAAUUAUUUAAUACCCUUAAAAGUUCCCCCAAGUUGUAUUUUUUUCUAAUGUCAAACAACUUUUUUAUUGGGGGAGGUGCAAAAUGUAAAUAAGAAGUAGGUACUCACGUAAGAGACUUGUUCACAUGCAAAAACCAGAAUAACUACAAUAUCCAAAGUUGAAUGGGGUUGGAAUUGGAUGACCUAAAUUGAUUCUUUUUUUUUGUCAAUUAUUGAGAAAAGGUAUGUUCAAAUAAUCCCCAUUAUAUACACCAUUCUUACUUUCUUUCCUAGUAAUGGUCUCAAGAACCAACUCGGCUUGAAUCCCUUCACAUUGAAGCAAAAUUAUAAAAAAUCCAAGUCCAAUAUAAUCAAAAUUACAAAGAAGAGGUUAGAUUGUCCAAGAUCCAAAGCAUUAUGAACCGUUGGUGCAAAAAUAUUGAUAAAUACAGUAACAUGAAGUCUCAUUUUGAUAUCUAAAUCUUUAAGAAGUAACCAUUUUUACCCUUAUCUUCCUCAUAUUCUGCCAUGCACCCAAUAACAUAUGUGACUUUAUAGCAUGUUACACCCAUUUGUUACAAACAAAAAUAUCAAAAAUGGACCAAACUGAUUAAUUUUAAAAGUUGGGAUUAAAGGAAAAGCAAUAUUUAAAUCAAUUACACCUCUUGUACUUACUAAUCAUCUAAGUUUACCAAAGAAUUAAAUUUUUUGCGUUGAUUUAAUAUGAAAUGUUUGAGCAACAGUGCAGUUACAUAGAGCACAAGAUGUACAACAAGAAUUACUCUAGUUUAGAAUCAGUAGGCAUUGGAAGGAAGGCAAGAGACAACAAAUCCACAUACCGGAGUUAAGAAGAAUCUGGAAGACCUCCGGUGGCCAGCCUCAAGAGCAAUCCGGAAGACAUCAUCACGAUACUGUCUUUAUAAGUUUCAGUUCGGGUAUAUUAACAACAAAACCAUUAGAUUCUUGAAGGAAUAGUCGACAGUCUGUAGGACAUAAUUUAUGGAAAUUUAUAUCUUAGAUUACCAAAUAUGAAUUGAGGAGAAAAGGGAAUGACAAUUACAAACUUGACCACUAAGUUCAGGGGACCCUUCAUAAUUUAUGCACAUUUGGAACAAUGUAGUUCAACUUGCCUUAUUAAAUCCAACAUCAUUUCUGUCUCUGGAAUCUGGAUUUUGAGUUCUAAGAUCUAUUUAACAUUAAACCAAGUAUUUUGAUAAAUACAAUUUGCUGAUAUAUAUGAAUACAUAUGAUAUACCCAUCAAAAUCUAGAGCAUAUAAAUUUAUGUAGGAAACUAAAUAGGUGGUCAAAUCACCUUACACUUCAACUUGUAUAGAACCUCAAGCUUAAGAGCAGCAGGCUGUUUAUCCAAAAUUUCUCUGACACUUUCUAUGCAAGACUAAUAUAUCACAAGUGAAGAAUAUUAGAACAUAAAUAAGUGGAGGCAAAAGCAGAAUCCAAAAAAUAAAGUUCAUCUUAAUAAUACUUUUUUUGUUUGAAAAUGAGACUAUCUAUUUAUUACUUUUUUUUUAAUAAUACUCAAAAGCAAGUUGCAAGUACCUUACCAUUUCUUUUUUAAGAAACUGAGCUUCCAAUGAGCAAAAUGAAGGAAUAUACAAGAAAUUACAAAGUUCUGGGCAUAUGAACCAAGUUGAAGGCGAAGUGAGUUAUUUUUCAUAGAUAUAAUGAAAAAUAAAUUAUUGAUUGAGAUACAAGUUCAAAAUGCAAUGAUACAAAAUGAACAUAUAAAUCUAGAAAUCUAUAAAGUUUAGAAUAUAUACAGCCACAUUUUGCAGAUGAUUAUCUUAAUAGGCAUUAAGCAUGAUAAAUUUAGGGUUCCUUUCAUAUAUAAAAGAUAUGACAUAUAAUAAAAUGUUGGAGGGAGUCAGACUAUUUGAGUGAAACAAACUGAAUGUGAAACUAGUGAAAAAGCUUAUGCCAAUGUUUACUUGAAGGGCCACUUUCAUAUAUAGGUGUAGGCAGUGUUUUAAAAAGCGCCCUAAGGCGCGCCUAGGCGCAAGUCGAAUUAGGCGUGAGCUUUUUUUUAUAAGUUAUGGGCUGGGCUUUAAUUAUAAAAAACUAUUAUUAUCUAGGUUUUUUAAACCUAUUACGUAAACGUGAAGAAAGAACCCUUCUCCUUUCGCGCGUGAAGUUUCUUCAACACGACUCUUCAUCUACUUCUUCAGUUCUUCGUCUUCCGUUCUGCUUCUACUUCAAAAACUUUUUGCUUCCUUUUCCACCCUUCCGUUCCGGCCACCCUUCUUCUUCACACAAAACGGGUGUGCUGCGGCUGCCAUUACUUUGUUUUUUGGUGCAAAAACAGAGGAAAAGAGAAGACAAUAAUAUUCUGUGCUACAGUGCUAGUGCUUCAGUUUUCGCCUCGUCCAUCUCAGCUUUAUCACGGGUGAGUAUCUCAAUCGUUCAGUUAACAACUUUAUCACUGACAAUGAAACUUUCUAAUUUUUCAGCUUCAUAGCAAGAAACGAAAUAGGCUUGCUCAAAGUCGUUUGAAUGAUCUAUUGUUCAUCAAAUACAACAGAGCACUAAAACGUCGAUACAACCUACAAGAUAUUGUAGACCACAUCUCCUUGAAAGAUAUUGAUGAUAGUAAUGAAUGGUUGAUUGGAAGAUUGGAUGACGAUUCUGAGGAGGAUGAUGAGUUGGUAUUUAACGAUGAUGAUUCUUUAACGUGGGGUGAUGUUUCUAGAGAUGUCGGAGCAAAAGAACCAUCAUUCUAUUCUAGAGCUAGUACCUCUAGACCAAAGACUAUUGUUUCAUGUUCAUCCUCGUCUACCACGCAACGGAAACAAGUAAAUUUAGAUGACUUCGAUUUGGAAGAAGAAGAUACUGAUGGCUAUAAGUCUAACAAAGGAUUGAAUGAAAACGAGGAUCAAUUUAGUGAUGAUGAGUUUGAUCUUUAGGGAUGAACUUUUAUUUUGAUUAUUGACUUGUUGAAUACUGGGUAGUUUUUUGUUGUGUUUUGUUGUUUAGGCUACUUAUAUUGGGUACCUAUAUUUUAUACAUUGUUGCUCUGCUAUAUGUGUGUAUAUAUAUAUUUUCUUCUCUUUUUAUAUAUAGUGCGCCUUAUGAAAAAAAGCUCACGCUUUUUUUUGCGCCUUGCGCCUAGGCUCCAUAGGACCAAUGCGCCUUAGUGCGCCUUGAGCCUUUAAAAACACUGGGUGUAGGACAAUAUCCUCAAAGAGUAUUGCAAGAACGCUUAAUGUGGUUUUAAAUUCAAUAGUUGGUGAUCAUCAUCUUUAUUUUCUUUUAUUUUAGUUUGGUUUUGAGUGAGGUUUUUCUAGCCAUGAAUUGAAGUAAACACAGCUGGAAUGCAACAAGAGAAACAGAGAAAAGUUGUUCUACAUAAAGACCAGCUUAAAUAGAAAUAACCAGUCAAGUAGAUUCUUAUACCAGAAGACCAAAAGCCAUUGAUUGUAACUUUGAUAUGAAAAUUAGCAUAUUUACUUUGUCGAGAACAAAUUUAUAUCGAUUGAAAUACUCUCUACGAUUUUCCAUAAUCCAACAAGCAACUUGACUUGCACCAGCCAGAAAAUGCCCAAUAUAGCCAUCUGAAUAAAUGAUAGAAUUAAGCACAUCAAAAAGUGUUGGGGUUAAAAAUCAACAUUUGAAGAAAUCUUUUCUCUUUCUACCAAUCUUCAAAGGAAGUUUGACAAGCUUUUCAUGCCAUGAGACAAAAGAAGCAAGAAAAUGAAAUUAUACACACACACACACAAAGGUAGAAAUAGAUUAGUAACAAAAUAAUUUGAGACUAGCAGAUAGGGCCUCCAACAAAAACCAUGAUCAUCGGGCAUUCUUAUCAUUAAAGAGCAGAUACUAUACAUUGAUUGCCUUGGACAAAGCAAUCUUUUCAUUGUUCCUUAAAAACAACCAUACAUACAAGUGUCUCCAAUCAACUUUGAUUGUUCCUUAAAAACAUUUACUUCAAUGGAGUACUCUGUUACUUACACUUGGUUUCAAUUCAGAAAUUGUUGGAUUAUAACUCAAAAAGAUACUUUAUAACUCACAUCAAAGAAUAUAAUCCUAUCGAUUAUAAUCUAUAUGCGCUCAACUGGUACACUGAAUGAGAGUGCCUAACAGUUAAAAAGUUUGAAGGAAUGAAGUAAAGAAAGAAAUCAGUGAAACUGUCUAAUUACGAUCUCGAUCUAGGAAUAAAAUCCAGAAAAAGAAGCCAUUCAGCCUGUAAAACCAAAUAACUUCCAUAUUUCAACAAAAACAUUGUCAACUUUAAUACAUUAAUCAAAAUUCAUACUCAUAUAGAAAUUAUCAAUUGUCAGUCGGUCAGAGUAUAUGCAUAACAUUCCAUACCAAGCUGAUAAUUAUUUACCACAAAGAAUCAAUAGAACAAGAACAAAUAUAUAUUGAUUAUAGACAACUGAGGUUAGAAUAUAACUGUAUACACAUUUGGUCAAUGAGAAAACAGAACACGGGUAAAGUAGUUGAGAGUGUUGCACAAGUGUUGAAGGAAGGAAACAGAAAAAUCAACUUGAAUGGCUUCAACUUGUUGUCUAAAUUAUAUAUAUAUAUAUAUAAUCAAUUUCAUGCACUCUUUCCUCCUUAACUCUUCUUCAUGUGAAACCUUAGCUCUCUCUCUUAUCCUUUUAGUUUCCUGAAAUGUGGUUUUAAUUUAUAUAUAUAUAUAGACACACACUCACACAUGUUGGGAGCGGAAAAAAGGUAAUAAAAAUCCCUAUUCCUUCCUCACUUCUUUCAACUUUGAGAACCAUGUCUUUUAUUUCAGGUCAGAUCCACGUCUGUAAAAAGAUUUUCAUAUUUUGAUAAGCCAUUGUGAAAGCAAAUUAAGAGAAAGUUUUACAUUCACAUCCUAUCCAACAAUUAAUAGAUCUGAAAAAUAUAAUAAAAAGGAAGAAAAGUAAAAGGAAGAGAAAAGGAAGAAAAGAAGGGUAAGGUCAGAAGAAAAAAGGCUUAAAGAAGGUUACCCGUUUGGUGCAGCAAGUCGAUGACUAGUUCGGCGAGCAAAGAGUCAUUCUUUCUUAAAAGAACUAGAUGUCCAUAUCCGAGAACUAAGGAAAAUUUUGGAUAUUUCAUGUUUAAGGAAUUAAUCGAGUAUAAAAUAUGAUUUUUUCAGGACAAUGAGGAUUAGGAAGAAUUUCACGACCAAGGCUAUAUUCAAGUGACAGUGAGUAACACAUUGAUUUCAAAGUGAUUUAAUAAACAUGUUUUCAGGCUUUCAAAGCAAUAGCUCGUAAAAUGAUUUGCUAAACAUGAUCUCAAGUUCUUAUACAAGCUAUAUUAUUAUUGAUAAAUGUUUACUGAGUUGAUAUUUCCAAGCUACGUUAUGAUUUCAUAAGUUCAAGGAAAUGUUUCAAAAACUUUCAAGGAAAUAUUUCAUGUCUUCAAAUGUUUUUAUCCAUGCUCGAAUAAGACUUAUUGUAUACAUGUGGUUAACUCCGUACUGAUGGUAGGGUUGACGAGCCUAUAGUUUAUGGGUCCUUAGGAAGCACUACAAGAAAUUAGAAUAAUUCUGACGCCAAAAACAACGUUGGCGAAAGAUGCAUCGGUGUUGACCACCUUUCGGCAAUGCAACAUUGGUUGCGUUGGCAAAAAGAUAUUCUGCGACGCACAAAAACAAGACGUCGUGGAAAGUUUAAAAUUAAAUUUAAUAUAUUCACUUUUCACAACGUACAAGAACUAGAUAUCGCGCAAAGAUUAAAAAUUAAAUUUAAUAUCUUAACUUUUCGCGACGCACAAGAAUAAGACAUCGUGGAAAAUUUAAAACUAAAAUUAAUAUCUUCACUUUCUGCGACGCACAAAAAUCAGACGUCGCGAAAAAAUUAAAAAUUAAAUUUAAUAUCUUCACUUUCUGCAACGCACAAGAAUCAGAUGUCGCGGAAAGUUUAAAAUUAAACUUAAUAUAUUCACUUUCUGCGACGCACAAAAACCAGACAUUGCGGGAGGAUUAAAAAUUAAAUUUAAUAUAUUUACUUUCCGCGACAUACAAGAACCAGACGUCGUAGAAAGAUUAAAAAUUAAAUUUAAUAUCUUAGCUUUUCGCGACGCACAAGAAUAAGACGUCGCGGAAAGUUUAAAUUUAAAUUUAAUAUCUUCACUUUCCGUGACGCACAAGAACCAGAUGUCGCUGAAAGUUUAACAUUAAAUUUAAUAUCUUGACUUUCUGCGACGCACAAGAACCAGAAGUCGCGAAAAGUUUAAAAUUAAAUUUAAAAUCUUCACUUUUCGCGACGCAUAAAAAUCAGACAUCAAGAAAAGUGGAUGUUGUAAGUGUACGUAUUGAAAUGACAUGGUCACCUUUCCGCGACGUGUGGUAGGUGCACGUCGGGAAAUAUUUAAAUAAGGAAUUGAUUAUUUAAUUUUUCCAUGAUGUUGAGGUUGCCCAAUGUCGAGAAAAGGGUCCUUCCCCAACGUUUUCGAAGACGUCAGCAAAAUUUCACUUUAUUUCUUCCCUCUUCAACACAGAAUUGAUUGCAAAACAAAAGGAAGAAAAAAUUGACCGAGAGAGAGGGAGAGGAGGAGAUUUGUGCUGUCGUCCGUCCGUCUUCGCUAUCGUCGUUGCCGCCGCCGGAAGUAUCCUUGUCCCCCUCUUUCUCCUCUGUCACUAUUCCCCACUCUCCAUCUCUUCUUCCCACUACUUUCUCCAUGUUUUCCUUCUCCGAAUCGCUCAUCUUCCUCUCUCAUUCCUUGUACUUUCUCUCUUUUCCUUCUCUGAAUCGCUCAUCUCUCCCCCUUCUUCUGUCCAAUUUCAUUCUCCAAAAACGAUUAAUCGCUUGGAAAUAGACUAAUUUAUCAGCAACAUCAACCAUAUCUGACAGGGACAUAAAUAAAUGGAAGAAUUUAGUGGGUUUCUUUUCAUAUAUAAAUAAAUAAUUAAUUACAAAAUAUAUUAAAAGUCUUUCACGAGGCACACAUUGCAAAAGCCUUAUGUGACGCACACGUCGCGGAAGCCGUCUGUGACUUGCUGCAGCGUGUGUGGGGAAAUUUUUUUCGUUGCUAACACAAGCUACGUCAGGAAACGUAUCCCCGAAGUGUCUAUCGACGUCAUCUACGACGUCGCAGUAACCUUCCCCAACGUUGGUUAGAGUUUUCGACGACAUAUUGCUAUGCCGAGGAAAAUCAUAUUUCUUGUAGUGAAUGGUAUAUUUCCACGCCUUAAAGGAGGAGGGUUACCUACUUAUAUAUAUAUUUAAGCUUCAGUUCUACACUAAAAUGUUUAUCAAAACUUGUUUUAUAAAAUCGUUGCUCACUAUGUCUUUCGACUUACCCUUUCAAAAAUGUUUUCCCUCUUUUCAGGUACAGAUUGUGGAUCUCUGCGUGCUGAACAUACUACUAGCAGACCAACUCUGUCUCGUCUCAUGAAAGAAUUCGUUUUACUCUAAAGCAUUAUUUUGUUUAUUCAAGAGUGUAAACUUUUAUGAUUAAUAUAUUUUUCACUUGGUAUAUCAGAAAAGAAAAUUCAAAUGGGUCACACUAUGAUUAAAGUAUUUCAAGUUAAAAAACUUUUAUUGUUAAUUGUUUUGUUUUUCCAUGUCAUGUGUUAGUUAGUUGAGGUUGUUUCAGAGGCGAACGGCUUCGGCUGACAUCACACCACGUCUUGGGCCUAGCAAGCAGGUAUCUGUGAUAGGGUGUGACACCUACAACUUUGGACGUUAUUGUUGUGGGGUGAACAUUUUGAUCGAUGGCAACCAAUUGUUAUAAUCUUUAAUUAUUGAUGUCAUGCUUAUUAACAAACGAUCGUAGUGAUGGUCAAUGAUCAAUAGUCAUGACCCUUGACGACUAAUUGUCAUAAUGGUCAACAACCAAUCAUUGUCUUAAAAUUAGCGAUCGUUGGCCGUCUUCACUAUUGAUCAAAGAUCGUCUUCACCAAAGCUUCAUACACUAUUUCCCAUGGGAUUGAAUAUUAAACACUAUUUAAGCUCAUGGAUUACUUUUUUUGUCUAAUUCAAUCUACAAAAUUCAUCGACCAACUCCAAACACCACACCUAGUGACUAUUGUUGGUCAACCACUAGGUGUCAUUUCUGACAACUCUACCAAUGAACUUCCGACCAUACCAACUUUUGCAACAACUGCGAACCUUGAAAAUUAAUAAAAAUGAAUUUUUUAAAAACUUUUUUUUAGUCAUUCCAAAUACGCAUUGAAUUUAAUCACAAUAAUAUUUUUUAAAAUAUUGCAUUUUUUCAUUCUUCUAUUUUCUUUUCUUCUAAAGUUUUUUAAUAACUAUUAUUAUUACAUCAUCUUUUUUUUCCUUCUAUAUUUAAAAUUAAUCUUUCCUUCAUUUUAAGAGAUUUUGUUUAUUUUGUUAUAUUUUUCCAAGGUGAAAAUUGAUGACCUAUCUAUUGUGAUCUCGAAUAUAAAUCAAAUAUAUAUUGGUAAUAUAGUGAAGAGUGUAAAUAUAUAUCACAUGUAUAUAUCAUAGUUUAUUUUUUAGUUUAAUAAUAUUUUUCAUUUUUUCCAUUAGUCAAUUUAACUAGAAGACUUAGGACUUAUUUGGAUUGACAUAAGAAAAAGUGUUUUUAAAAAAAAAAAACAAAACUCACUUUUAUUUAGACUCUUUUGAUAAGAGUGGUUUAAAAUACAUGCAACUCUACUUGACUUUCGUUUUUGCAUGACCCUUUUGGUUGAUGCUUAUUUUGAAACUUAUUAGACAUUUUUUAAUGUUGCUUAACUAUAACUUUCAUAAAUUUCAUAGGAUUACAUCAUUUGUUAUAUUUUGUUAAUAGUUUGUAAUAUUCAUAAUUAUACAAUUCAUGUUAAUCCAACUAUAAUCAAAAUUAUUGUUAUCAAAUAUUAAAACUUCUCACUUUUACAUUAUUUUUAUUAAAAUAAAUAUAGUCGAGAAAUUGAAUUAGAGAUACAAAAUGUGAAAAAAGAAUCAAUUAAAAAUUUGAUACAAAAUAAAUUUAGGAUGUACAAUUAAUAUAAAAAAAACUAAACAAAUUAACUAAAUCAAGGAAUUGAAAACCAACACCCCAAACACAAGCAUAAAAAACUCAGAAUUCAAAUCUUGCACCCGAAGCACAGACAUUUGUAAUUCACAGGCAUCCAAUAAGCUGACAGACAUUUAAUUUCCAGACAUUUUAUUCCAAACCUACACACCAAAUACCCCUUAGGGUUCUUUAGAGACAUUUGAGAGAAAAUGGAGGAAUGGUUUGAGAGCACUCUUCAUUUGAAACUGGCUUAUCUAUAGAGUUCUUUGCAUAGCUAGCUUUUCCACCUUACUUGCAAGAAUUCCAAUCUUUUUAUAUUGUGGACACUUGUUUUCCACCCCACCGACUGUCCUGCAUGCCUAAGGGUCUAUUUCCAUGGUCACCUAGCUUCCUUACUCACCUCACAAAGCCUCUCAACAAAAUCUUGUUGCAUGCCCUUGAUCCGCUUGCCACCUAGUUAACCUCUUUAGGUUGUCGUGCUCUUAACUGCAUGAAUCAUCAUGCAUAGCUCCUCCCUUGGCUUGUCAUACACAUGGAGGUUCUUAACUUGUAUAGCUCUUCUUGGCUUGUCUCAACACUUAGCAUGCUUUGCUCUUGAUGCCUAAACACUUUGGUUGCCUAGGAUAUGUUCUUGGAGGUUCACAAGACACCUUUGGCUGCCUAGCAUCAACCAAAAUGCCUAGUCACCAACACCUUAGCCAAAAUUCAUUUAUUUUUCUUUCUUUUCUUCACUUGGCCGCCAACCUCUCAAUGACUUAGCACUUAGUCAAAACUUCCUUCAAACUCUUCUUUAACCUCAGCAACACAUCAACAACAAGAACUUUUACUAAACUUGCUUUCUCUUAACUAAUGGAGAUUUUAGAGGAAGAAUGAGUCGGAGGUUUACAAAAGGCAAUAUAUUUUCUUUCAAAAAAAAAAAUAGAUUGGAUUAGAUCAACAAGUUUGUUGAAAGAUAUGUGUUGAAAGAGACAAACUUCAAUGAAAUUGGUAAUGGUUAUUUUCAUCCCAUUGAACAAUACUCCAAACGUUUAACAUUCAUAACAACAGAUUGUUCAGUAUAGGGGAUGAAGAAAGUUGGACUAUAAGUAGUAUAAUACUAUUUUAUGUUUGAAACAAAAGGAUAAUAGUAAGUAUAAUGUUAAUAAUGAUUUAAAACUUGGGAAUCUUGUUGAAAAAUAUUCGAAAAUUCAAAUCUAUUACUAAAACUGGUUUUAAUAUUCAACAUAAGUAUAAAUGUCGAGAUUUAUGACAAAAGUUUUUGAUGGAAAAAUCAUCUAAGUUAAGGUUGCAAUUCUGCUGAGAUAUAUAUUUGACCAAUUAGUUAGACUCCAUGAAUUUUGUUAAUAUAUAUAACUUAAUGUAUGGUCUAGAAAACAAAAUGUAUUGUGGUAUUUUAAACCUAAAAAAAAAAUCUGAUAUAUUGUAAUUAAUGUAUUGUGGUAUUUUAAACCUAAAAACAACUUUUAAAAAUUGCAUUAAUGUGUAAGAUUUGAAAAUUCAAAACUAACUACUAAAAUUGAUUUAAAUAUUCAAAACAAGUAGUAAAUGUCUAGAUAUCUGGAAAAUGUGGUUGAGAUUGGAAAUAACAUCUUAUUAGAAGUCAAAAUCCCACUAGAUUACAUAUUCAAGCACUUAACUACCUUCUCAUAAAUAAAAAUGUUGGAUAAUGAGACUGCAUGGACAAUGAGAGCAUUUCAGUAUUUCAGAAAAUAUGCAUUUGUAGAGUCUAAGGAUUUCGUCUUUUGAUGCUCUGAUCUUGCCUCCUCUCUUCCGUUUUCUUUUUUAUUUCUGUCCUCCUAUUGUAAUAUUUGUCUUUCUUGUCGCUCGCCCCAUCGCUUUCGUCUGUAUUUCAAGGUUGUCAAUGUCGUCUUCAUCUGAAUCCUUGUCUAACCCUUCGUCGAUUCCAACUUCCUCGAUUCCAACUUCCUCUUAUUGACGAUGACUGUACAUAUUCGAGAUUUUGUGAGAGGGAAAGAGAUGUUUAUGUCACUGAUUCCAACUUCCUCUUAUUGAGGAUGACUAUACAUAUUCGAGAUUUUGUGAGAGGGAAAGAGAAAGAAAUCCAUUGUUGGUCGAUGUUUAUGUCACUAUUCAUGCUCUUAGAAGUGUCACUGAUAGUGUUAAAUAGAUGCAAAACAGAUUCACUAAUUGUGUUUAUAAAUGCAAAACAGAUUCACUAAUUGUGUUUAUAAAUGCAAAACAGAGAUCCUUCUAAUGGAAAAUUUUACUCAAUGAAACAGUUAUUCACCAGAAAUUCAAAAACCUGAACGAGUUUUUAAAAAUUAAUUCCAAAAUUCAAACCUGAGUAGUUUUUCUAGAAUCUAACAUCCGAUUUGAUUGAGAAAAAGAAACAACUCUGUAAAAUCAUAAAAAUAUUCAACAGAAAACAAAAAACCCAUAUCUUGGAAAUUUUCGGUUUUAUUUAGACUUAGCUUUGACUACAAGAAGGUUGAAUUGCCAAACUCAAGGAGAUUGGUCCUGAAUUGUAGUCAUCACCAGCCUUUCCUUCACAUAAUUGCUCUUAACGUGGUUCUUGCUACAAUCACAAUGGUUAACAAAUCUAAAAAUCUCAAAAAUAUAAAACGUUGAAGACAAUGUCAUAACAAAAAAGCGUUCACUUGAGACAAGUUCACACCCAUAUCUGCAGAAUCGACUAAAACUGUAUACAAAAAUCAGCAAAGUCCAUAUCUCACAAAAGAUGAACUGUAUACGACCAUAUAAACCUCGAACGCUUUGCGGCAUCGAAUCAUCAAGCAAUGGAGAAACGAUUUCACUCAUUUCCUGUCUCCUCCUUCUCCUUCUCUCUGGCCUUCCCCUCGUCUGCGAUGUUGAAGCCCUCGAUCUUGCGUGAGACCUCAUCGGCACUUACCUUCACUUUACCAAUAGAUCCAUUGACCAAGGCGGAUUCAUCCGAAUCAUCAUGAGUUAAAGGACCAGUCUGCCAUAUCCUAAUGGUUCCAUCCUCAGAUCCAGAGGCAUAGGAUUCCCCACCGGGCGCAAAGCGCAAGCAAUGUACAGGUCCAUGAUGACCCUUAUUACAUGCUGCAUCGAUAUUUAAAAAUGAAGGCAUUCUUCAACUCACGGGAAAAAUUGAAUCUUUUUGGCAAAUAAAAAGGAAAAAGAAUGAUACGGAUUCAUACCAAUCUCAUCACCAGUAUGAAAAUCAAAUACAUGGAUCCACAUAUCCUCUCCACCGGCAAUGAACUUCAUCCCAUACUUUGGUUCCAAGGAAGCAGAUUCUACAGUGCAAGGCAUGUUGUAGCUCUUGACUAAGCCAAAGCUAAAAAGAGAACAAAAAACAAAAAUAAAAUAAAAUAAAACCACAAGGAGAUUGGAUAAUGUAAUAGUAAUACUGCUUAAGCGUUACACUUACUGAUUUGCAUCCCAAAAUUUAACAGUCGACCCAUCAGCAGUUGUGAUAUAUCGUCCGUCCUGACUAACUUCUGCACUGGUCACUGAUGACUUGGUUUCAAGAGUUUGAACUAUUUGGCCACUUCUCACAUCCCAUAACCUGUAUGACAACGACUAGACUUGAGAAGGACUUGCCAAAUAUCCAAAUAAUUAAUAAUAAAAGACAUCCCAUUCAUGCACUUUGACAGGGUGGAUUAACAUCCAGUGAUUAAUACCUGACCCCUCCCAUGUCAGUGCAAGAACUUAGUAUUGUCUGAUCACUAUGAAGCCAUGUAACAGUUCUGACUGAACCAGGGGAUUUAUCCACUUCUCUUGGAGGUGCAUCGGGACGAUUCAAGUCAUAUAUUCGUAGUACUUUCUCCAGACCACCAGUCAAUAAAAGGUGUGUAUCCUAUCACAUUUUAAAAAAGGCUUUAUUGGAGAAGAGAGGUUCAUUUAAACUGUCACAUAUCAUAAUGAACGAAGAUAAAUAGCAAUAUAAUACCACAACUUGGUAUAUAACAGUCAACUCAAAUAGUGCCACAAGCAGUGUGGGAGCAAGUCAAAUAAAAAGAACUAAUGAAUCCAAUCAUGAUAGCAAAAUUAUAAAUAUACUCCUAUCACCAUUAUCAAGACAGAAAUAACUUAGAAACCGAGUCAUAUGAAUACAUCACACUGAACCGAUCAAACCAAAACACCAAUAUGAGGUAAAAAUAACAUUUUUUAAUAAUAUCAUCCAUAGUGUCUAGGCCAACUAAAAUGCUGCUAGUGUCUAGGCCAACUAAAAUGCUGCUCGAUUAAUCUCACUUGGGACAGAUGUUGGAUUGGACCAUACAAGUUAUCAAGAAACUCUAGGGUUUUGAAAGACUGGGCAACUGGAUACCACAAGAUAAAUUAUUGGGUUUCAGAAGACUAUAGAAGGUAGAUGGCAACCAUGAGACUAUUUUCAGGUUAUUGCUAUUAAUGUCAAAAAAGAUACGCCAUGUUUUGAUAAUAAUUCCCCAGUCAUUUCUUAGGACAUGAAAUCAUAUGCACAUCAACAAAAAGUGUAUAAAAAAGGUGAUAUAAGAUAUUACCUCUGAAAAAGAACAGGCACGAACAAUAUGCUUGUGCUCAAAUGAGUGCAGUACAUCUCCAGUUAAUGCAUCCCAUACUUUCCUGUAAGUUCAAUCACAAAUAUGAAGGAUUGUACCAAUGAUUCCAAACUCCAUUAUGAUCACAAAAUCACUUGAAAGAAAUGUCUUAACUUCUAUAGGAAAUGAAGUAAUAUUUAACAAACAAUAUUCUGUCAUCAAAAUAAGGCUUAUGAGAUUAAUCAGAAAAUAAUCACGACAAACUCUACCAUAUGCCCAAGGAGAGAGUGAGUAGUAAGAAGGUGUUGCAGUCUAGAGGAAGCAAAUGCUGGAGGGAAGGAGGAAGACCACAAUGAGUACUUCUGCCAAAAAGCCAAGGUGCAAAUGCAAUAGCAAGAGGCAUGCAAAAAGGUAGAAAAAGCAACUGUCCGGACAAUGUGAUGCCUCAGUGAUGUAGUUAUAAGUUCACCGUAGGCAGUCAGCCUUGGAGUUUAGUAUGUCAGUAGGUUGGUAGGUAGAUUUACCAACUAUUGUCUAGCAUCAUAAUUUAAGUUUCACAACCCCUGGCCCUAAUCAUAAUGGAGUCAUGUAAAUUCAGGCACAUUUUUGCCAAAAGAAAAAAAAAAAGCCUACAAUUCUGUAUCAUAAAAUCACCACAACGAGGCAAGCAUAGUUCAGUCAACUUUAACUCUGUAUCAUAAUGAAUGAUAAGUAAUUUCACAAACCAAAAUUUUGCAGCCUUCAACCAACUUUAAUGUUCAAAACAAUUGUUUAAAAAGAAAAACAUGUAAGAUAAGCAGAUCAAAUGCAAAAUGUUAACUAUAUUACCAAUUAAUGUAAUGUGCACUAAAAAAAGGGCCAUGAUUUCCUGACACUAUUUAUAGAGAAACAUUCAAAUAAAAUUAAUAACUGAUUUUGUUCUAUGAUAUUAUUUUUAGCUAUUAAAAAAAGGAACUAUAAAAAGGUCUUUUAUGAUCAUAGAUUCAUUUCAAAGAAAGUCAAAAUAAAAUCAUUGAGUACCCAUAUAUCCCGAUUCAUCUUUGUGUAUAACCCACUGAAUCAAGAAAUUUAAAAAGUAAACAGAAUACGCACUUUCCACUGCAUUAGAAGUCUAGGACCCUUUUCAAUUCCUUUUUUUUUUCUUUCUUUCAAUGCCUCCAGAAAUAAAACAUAAUUCAUCAACUUGUGUCAAAAAGAAAGUUGGUCUCAGUACCAUCACUCAAAUAAAAGCAAGCAAUAUCUGAUAAUCAUAACGAGGAAACAUGUAGGAAAUUGAAAGUGCUAAAUGUAUAUAUAGAAUAAUACACAGACCAAAAACCAGAACUCAGAAGAUGGGAAUCAAAUUCAUUAGAAUUUGAUAAGAUGAUUUAUUAUAAGUAAAAAUUCCAGAUCUACACGGAUAGGUUAAUCUAAAAAUGCUAUGAAAAUUCCCUACUCCCGAUCAAUGCUAUAAACAUUAUUUAAAAUUACCCCUCCUCAGUUCUGAGAGAAGAUAUCUAAUCAUAUACCGCAUACAAUGUUAUGACACUGAAAAGUCAAUGAUAUGUCAGUUCUUAAAACGUAUCAUGAAAACCAAUGAGAAGGACAUACGCUGAAAAAUCAGCAGAACCAGUAGCAGCACGUAAAGCAUUGGUAUCCAGACAACAACUCCAAACUGCGCCUUUGUGACCUUCAAAUGUACCAAUCCAAUCGCCAGUUUCACCAUUUCUAAGCAUGGGAUUGGAAUCUGAAUGGAGGACAAGAAUAACAUAUUCAAAGGCAACCCAUAAAAGUAAAGUCCGGAUUAAGCUUUGAGCAAACGACAUGGGAUUCAUUCAACAAAUCUCUCAUCAAAGAAAGCUAAAAUAGCAAUACCCACAUCUAGGACAACUAUCAAUUAAAGUCAAAAGAACUAACACUGGACAACAACAAAAAAGAAAAAAGAUCCAAAAUCAUAAUUAAUAUCCAGAAAGUUUGGCGAUUCAUAAAUUAAAGUCUUAAAUCAAAGCAAAAAUUUUAAAUCUUGAAUCAUACCCUUGCUGGCACUGAUGAGGAAGAAUCCAUCGGGCGUAACAGGGCUAUAAAAUAGAUCCACAACCGGUCGAGAAUGGCCAUGGCAAACGAGAGGAAUAGCCACUCUCUUCUUAUCCAUGUCAGACAAAAAAAAAAAAAAAAAAAAAGCUAAACUAGAGUUGUAUAAAACCUAAAACCUAGAAAUAAACUAUAGAUUUGUUGUGUGUUUUUAUUGAUGAUUGGUUUUAGAGGUGUAAUUGAAGAAGAAAUAAGGAAAUGAAAACCCUAAAGCCGAAAAUCCAGAGAAAUCAACAACCCAACUGUAAGGAGAAAGACGGCGAUCAGUUGUUAAAAUGAAAAGGUAAGCUGUGUUGAAAUUGUGAUGGAAGGAAAAAUUGGAGGGAGAAAUGGCGGUAUAUAACACAGGUGAUAGAGGCUAACAACAAAGCUAACACUUUAACACCUCCUAACCCUCUGAAAUGGCUCUGAUGAUAUCAAAAUUCUAAACCCCAAAAUUACAGAAAGAUCAACACUUUCAAAAAAGAAAAAAAAAUUCAAAAAAAAAAAAAGCUUAAAAAAGGAAAAUCUAAACAAAACAGAGCUUCCUAGAGAAGGGCUAGGCGCAACCAUAACUCUCUUCAGACCUGAUCUUAUAUAAACGUCAAAUUACUUUUUUUUCUUCUUCUCUUUCUUCUCUUUUCUUUUUUCCUAUCUUUUUUGAGCCGGGCUUGAGACCGGCCCAUUAAGACGUAAGCCCAUUUCAUCCUUCAUUUCUGAUAUUUUUUAUGGGCUGAUCAUACAUAAAUGGCAAAUCUUUAUUUAAUUUAAUAAAAUAGCAAAAUCCAAAACAGCCAAUGUAAAAAAAUAUAUAUAUAUUAAUAAUAAUAAUCCUAAAUACAAUUGUUCAAUAAACCACAAAUACUCUAUAAUUAAAAUCGAACUCCCAACACACAAUUAACACCUAUCAACAUCAAACUUCCAUUAAUUGGAGCUUCCACCUCGUCCCCUUCAAACCUUUCAAACUCUUCAUAUUUGGAUUUUCUUCUUAUCGGCUUAUCUGAUCGAAGACUUUGAAAUUUUCAUCUUGCUUGCUCCUUCGACUAGAAACUCACGUGUCGAACAACCUACUAAAAACUCCAAGAAGAACCACGACUAUAAAACAGAACACCCACGACGAAACUCAUAGUGAAACUCGCUGGGAACGCCACUCAAUCCUUCUAUCCUCCUGUCUGUGGCUAAAUUCGUGAAUGUCGACUAAACCUGACUCCAACAAACUCUGAAACGUCAAAACCCACUGCAAAUCCACGAUUAAUGUCACAAAGCUUUCGAAACGAAUGCUAGAGCCGUCGUAAACAGCCCCAAAAUUGUCAACUUCUAUCUGUCGACCAACGUCUCUCUUCCUGUUGGAACGCCACCGCACUCUUCUCUAUCAAUCUUUUUUGCUAGAAAAAACUUUCAUUCUACUGUGGUUUUUAGCUUUCGGCUGCCCCCUCUUCCUAUUCGUCCAACUUUUCUUUUCUCUAAUUUAAAAGACUCACGGAAGAAGAUUCAAUUAAUUGCAAAAAUACCAUUGAGACAUAAUUACAAUUUCACCGUCAACAUAAAACCCAUUUUAAAACAAAAAGUUUUGAAUCUUUCAGAUACUUUUGAAAUCUUUUAUGUUUUAACGUUUUUCAAUUUAUAUGUCUUCAAUAUUGGUGAUUUGUUAAAAUUGAGCUAUCCUUAGUGAUCAACUUACAAUAUAUAAUGCUUAAUGAAUGGAUAGAAAAAUGAAGAGGAAAAAAAAUAUUUAAGGUCGUUUAAGGAAUUGUAAUAAUUAUUGUUAUUAUUAAUAAAUCGUUUAAAAUAUAACAACCUCAUAUAUAUAUUUUUUAUUAUUAUAGGGAGGUUGCUGCAAUAUUGUCCAACAACAAAAUAACAUAUUUAGUUAAGAUUUACUAAAUUUAAAUGUUGUUUGUAAAAUACGGUGUCUUUAUGUUAUUUUCAAUAUCUUGUCUCAUUUUUUUGAGUUAUUCAAAUACAUAUAUGAUUAUUCUAUACCGAGUGGAAUUAUAUUAUAUCUUGAUGACCAAAAUUUUUGUUUAUAACAUUCAUACUCCACGUAUAAAUGAGAUUCAUAUAAAAACUAUUGAUUAUGUGAGAGAAAUGUUAUUUGAAUUAAUAUGAUUCGAAUUAAAUUAAAUAUGAUAUUUAGAGUUAUUAAUUCUUUAAUUGUUAAUUAAAUUUAAUAUAUAACUUAAAAUUAAAAGUAAAAUGAGAACAUGGUGGAGAGGAGUUGUAAAUCAUUUGUAAUUGCUUCUCCAUCUCUCUCCUCUCACGUAACAAAAGGGUUUUGCUACACAGAGAAGGAUUAAGGAUCCAAUCAUGAAUUUGUUCUCUACAAAAAUUCUCUUAUAACACCCUUUUUCUUUUUAUUUAAUAAGGAUUUCACACCUCCAACUUGUUAUUUAUUUGAAAAACCAUGCAGUUUCUAGCAUCGAAGGUCAUUGCUUCAAAUUAAGAAUGCUUAACUAUGAAGUUAUUAACAUUGGACCCACAAUGCAACUUGUUGAUAUAACUAAUAACGAUUUUUAGUUUUUUUUAAGUCUUUCUUAAACAUACUUUCAUAUAUCCCCAAGAUUCUUCUCACUCAAAUUUGAUGUCAGUCUAUUCAUAUCUCACAUCCUAAAUUUGAGGCGUGUUACAUCAACUUCUGCUUGGUUUGUCCUCGAAUCACAUUUUGCUAAGAGAGGUUCUGUUCUAAUACUAUUUGUAACGAACUCGAUAAUCUAAGACUAUUGAUAGGGUCAUUACCUUAUUAAGAAAUUCAUGAAUGGUAAAUGGUUAUAGUGAGAUGAAAUAUAUCGAUGUACUUGUAUAUUCGAGACAUAAAAAUUGAAUUUUGUAGCUAACGAAACGUUCAAUUAUCCAUUUUAUGUCAAUAGGUUAAUGAAGUUUAUAAAAUAAUGUCUAGGUCAAUGAUUUAUUAUACAAAAUUACAACUCCAAUGAUGUAUUAGAUAUACAAUAGAAAGUUUAAGGCCUUUGCUUGGACACCAAUUUUAAUAUUCAAUUUCCAUUAGACACUUGGAAAGUUUAAUCAAGUUUGCAAAUCUUUAAUACCUAAUAGCUAUUACUUUGCACGUGGUCAUCAUUUAUCUGAGGAAAAAAGCAAAAUAUUGCAAUUUAAUUGUAAUGGAUCGUGAUGGACUACUAUGUAUGAUUUUAUCAUGAUCGUGACAGACUACUAUGUAUGAUUUUAUCAUGAUCCAGAAAGACAUAAAUAGCUUUGUCAUUUGAAAUAACUUUCCUAAAAAAAUCAAGAAAUUGUAUUUCCAGUUUGUGUUCUAAUUUGACCAUCACUUCUGAUAUUGUUAAACGCCUUUCUUCCUACACAGCAAAUCACUUAAGAUUCUACAAAAUUGCAGUGUUGAGUGUCCUUGUAGAGUGGCAUCACACUUUCAACCUGAGAUUCCUUUAAUCCUAGUAACUGUCCAGUCACUCUAUUCAACAUGGAACAUAUCUCCAUCAUUUCUGGAUGAGAUGGAUCCCCGACAAGAAACUCGUGAACAAUGCCAUCAACUUCGAUCAAGCUACACCCAGGCAUCUUCUUCACUCCAAGUUCUUUCAUUUUCCUUCUCACUUUCUUUGCAUCUUCCCACCUAUCGACAGAAGCAUAUAUAUUCGCAAGAAGUGUGUGAAUGCUAGAAUCACAUGAUUCAAUGUUCUCCAGUUUUUUGGCCAGCCUUUCACCCAUGUCAACAUUAUUGUGGAUUCUACAAGCACUGAGCAAAGCACCAUACAGAGGAACCACAAUUUCGCAAUUUUCAAUCGGAAUCUCUUGUAUGAGUUCCUCUGCUUCAUCCAAUAACCCAGCUCUACCAAGAAGGUCAAUUACACACCCAUAAUGCUCUACCUUCGGCUCAAUUCGGUGAACCUUUUUCAUCGAGUUGAAAAACCUACGCCCUUCCUCAACCAGCCCACCAUGACUACAGGCACUUAAAACUCCAAUGAAGGUGAUAUCAUCAGGUUUAGCCCCCACACGUUCCAUUUCUGAGAACAGCCGGAGUGCUUCACUCGUCUUACCAUUCAUUGCAAGACCGCAUAUAAUUGAGGUCCAAGAUGCCGUGUCCUUGUCUUCUAACUCAUAGAAAAUUUCUAAUGAUUUAUCUACACAACCACAUUUGGAAUACAUUUCAAUGAGUGCAGUACCAACAACCACAUCCAUUGUUAUUCUGUUUUCAUCUAGGUAUCCAUGAAUCCAUUUCCCUUGUUCUAGAGCUCCCAACUGCGCGCAACCUGUGAGGAGAGUGACCACUGUGAACUUAUCAGGUUUUACCCUUUGAAUUUGCAUUUCGCGAAACAGAGCCACAGCAUCAUCAAAAUGGUGGAACUGCACAUACCCAUUUAUCAUAGCUGUCCACAAAACAACAUCUCUAACUGGACUUUUGUCAAACAAGUCUCUAGCCUCUCUUAAAUCACCACAGUUUAUAUAGCCAGAGAUCAUGCUAGUCCAACAAAUUACAUUUUUCAUAGACAUUUCAUCAAAUAUGUUGCGGGCAAUAUUUAGACAACCACAUUUUGCAUACAUAUCUAAUAAGGCAUUGUCGAUUCGAGUGGUAAAACCAAGCUCCUUUCUAACAUAGUUGUGAAUUUCAUCUCCAAGCUCCAGAUUUUUCAGUGCUGUACAAGCAGAAAGAGUGCUAACUACAGUAGCUUCAUCAGGUUUCUCAUUGCCCUCUUGCUGCAUUUCCCUAAAUGUAUUGAUAGCAUCCUCAAAUCUACGACACCUAACAUACCCAGAAAUCAUAACAUUCCAAGAAACCGAAUCUCUAGUCGUCAUUUCAUCAAAUAACUUCUUAGCAUUCUCAACAUUGCUUAAUUCAUAAUACAUAUCUAUAAGUGAAUUAUAGACAUAAUUAUCCAAAUCCAUUCCUGUCUUCACUAUAAAGCCACGAACCUUUUCACCUUGCCUCACGUCCCGUAAGCAACCAAUAGCUUUCAGAACAAAUGGGUAAGUAAAACCAUCAGGCCACAAUCCAUCUUCCCUCAACUGUUGAAAGAGCAAAAGGACUUUUCUGAGAAUACCCCUUUUGGCAUACAUUUUAACCAUCACAUUAUAAACAAACAGAGAUGGGUCUUGAACAUAAUUGAAUAUCUUCUCUGCAUAGCGCAAGUUGCCAAGAGAUGAGUCUGCACAGAAUGCCAUCAAUUUGUUUAUUGUGUCCCUGUCUCCUUCAAGACCAAUUCGAAAGAUCUGACUCUGAAUUUGUUUGAGUUGAUCCAUGGACUUGCAGUUCCGAAGACACUCGAUGCAUGAUUUCUUUGUUAGUUUGGAGAUUCGAAGCAGAACUGGAACUAAAUGGGGGCUUGAAGAAAAAUGACGGGAUAUAAACUGGACUCUUCGAAUGAUUGAUAAAGGAAGCAUGUGCGAGCUUUGUGAGUGUUUGAAGAAUUGGAAAAUCUAAUAAAACAAACAGAAAGAACACGUUAGUUCAUAGGAUAUUAUCUUAUGCAGGGAUGUGUGUGUAACAAGAAAGUGAUAAAGAUAUGCCACUAAUAAAAGCAUGCUUAAUUACCUCUGAAAAAGCAAAGGCACAAUCAAAAUGCUUCUGCUCGAAUGAGUGCACUACACCUCCAGGUUAAUGCAUCCUAUACUUUCCUGUAAGUUUAAUCACAAUAUGCAGGAAUGAUUUCAAUCUUCAUUGUCCACAAAAUCACUAGAAAGAAACAUUUAACUUUCCUUUCAAAUAAGGUGUUAUUUACUUAUUAUUAUUAUAGGAAAUGGAGUAACAUUUAACAAACAAUAUCCUGUCAUCAAAAUAAAGCUUACGAAUAAUCAAUCACAAAAUAAUUACGACAAACUCUACCAUAUGCCCAAGAAAAGGGUGAGGAGUAAGAAGGUGGUGCAGUCUAGAGGAAGCAAAUGCUUGGGGGAAUGGAAAAAGACCACAAUGAGUACUUCAGCCAAAAAGUCAUGGUGCAAAUGCAAUAGCAAGAAAGUCAAAAUAAAAUUAAUAACUGAUUUUAUUCAUUGAUAUUAUUUUUAGCUAUUAAAAAAAGGACCUAUAAAACGAUCUUUCAUGAUCAUAGAUUCAUUUCAAAGAAAGUCAAAAUAAAAUCAUUGAGUACCCAUACAUCCCAAUUCAUCUUUGUGUAUAACCCACUGAAUCAAGAAAUUUAAAAAGUAAACAGAAUACGCACUUUCCACUGGAUUAGAAAUCUAGGACCCUUUUCAAUUCUUUUUUUUUCUUUCCUUCAAUCCCUCUAGAAAUAAAACAUAAUUCAUCAACUUGUGUCAAAAAGAAAGUUGGCCUGAGUGCCAUCACUCAAAUAAAAGCAAGCAAUAUUUGAUAAUCAUAACGAGGAAACACAUAGGAAAUUGAAAAUGCUAAAUGUAUAUAUAGAAGAAUACACAGACCAAAAAGCAGAACUCAGAAGAUGGGAAUCAAAUUAAUUAGAAUUUGAUACGAUGAUUUAUUAUAAGUAAAAAUUCCAGAUCUACACGGAUCGGUUAAUCUAAAAAAGCUAUGAAAAAUUGCUACUCCCAAUCAAUGCUAUAAGCAUUAUUUAAGAUUUCCUCUCCUCAGUUCUGAGAGAAGAUAUCUAAUUUAAUUAUAUACCGCAUACAAUGUUAUGACACUGAAAAGUCAAUAAUAUGUCGGUUCUUAAAACGUAUCAUGAAAACCAAUGAGAAGGACAUACGCUGAAAAAUUAGCAGAACCAGUAGCAGCACGUAAAGCAUUGGUAUCCAGACAACAACUCCAAACUGCGCCUUUGUGACCUUCAAAUGUACCAAUCCAAUCACCAUUUUCACCAUUUCUAAGCAUGGGAUUGGAAUCUGAAUGGGAAUAACAUAUUUAUAAGGCAACCCAUAAAAGUAAACUCCGGAUUAAGCUUUGAGCAAACGACAUGGGAUUCAUUCAACAAAUCUCCCAUCAAAAAAGCUAAAAUAGCAAUACCCACAUCUAGGACAACUAUCAAUCAAAGUCAAAAGAACUGACACUGGACAAAAAAAAAAAGAUCCAAAAUCAUAAUUAAUAUCCAGAAAAUUUGGCGAUACAUAAAUUAAAGUCUUAAAUCAAAGCAAAAGUUUUAAAUCUUGAAUCAUACCCUUGCUGGCACUGACGAGGAAGAAUCCAUCGGGCGUAACAAGGCUAGAAAAUAGAUCGACAAUCGGUCGAGAAUGACCAUGGCAAACGAGAGGAAUAGCCACUCUCUUCUUAUCCAUGUCAGACAAAAAAAAAAUUAUACUAAACUAGAGUUGUAUAAAACCUAGAAAUAAACUGUAGAUUUGUUGUGUUUUUAUUGAUGAUUGGUUUUAAAGGUGUGAUUGAAGAAGAAAUAAGGAAAUGAAAACCCAAAAGCUGAAAAUCCAAAGAAAUCAACAACCCAACUGUAAGGAGAAAGACGGCGAUCAAUUGUUAAAAUGAAAAGGUAAGCGGUGUUGAAAUUGUGAUGGAAGGAAAAUUGGAGGGAGAAAUGGCGGUAUAUAACACAGGUGAUGGAGGCUAACAACAAAACUAACACUUUAACACCUCCUAACCCUCUGAAAUGGCUCUGACAAUAUCAUAAUUCUAAACCCCAAAAUUACAGAAAGAUCAACACUUCCAAAAAGAAAAAAAGAUUUUAAAAAAAAAGCUAAAAAAAGGAAAAUAUAAACAAAACAGAGCUUCAUCAUAAUUUUUCUAAUAAGACUAUACCCAGUCCUAAUUUGAGUAAAUCUUUCAAACUUCCAGCAUCGUGAGUCGGUACUAACCUCCCGCCUUCCCUCCGUAGUCAGCUCUGGUACGCCUGCUGGAGUUUUCCCCCUCUCCUCUUCAAGUUCGUAAGAUUGAAGUUUUAUGAUCUUUCAACUUUCCAUUUCUUCAUGUGCAUGCCUUGUGCCAGUUUGAUUUGGGAUUAAUGUUGGGAAGGAUUGAUAUCGGGUAGUGUCUAGAGUUUCCAGUUAUGUUUUGUUUGCGGGGCUUAACUGUAAAUGGUGACCGACGGGGGGUGACUGGCGAGGCAAAGGAGAUUGAAUAGAAAUAGAUGGAGACGGCUGGCUGGCGUGGCGGUGGAGAUCGAAGAGAUGGAAGAAGAGAAGACGGAAAACGAAGGAGGAUGAGGAGAUGCGAGAUGAGAGGGAUGAAGAGACUGCUAGGAGUGGGUUUAAAAAAAAACAUCACUCCAAACUAAACUUAUAUAUACUUCAGUUCCGUUCAAUUUGAAAAGGAGUUUUUAAAAUAGACCGAACCAUUUAAAUUCGGUUUGGACUAUUUGAGACAGCAACAUUUUUUGUUUUCUACAUAAAUGGUGUGGUUUGAUUCGGUUUUAACAAGCGGUUCAAUUUAUACCGUUUAGACUUGAUCUUAUAUAAUGUGAAAUUAUUUUUUUUUUCUUUGAAUUUUUGUCUAAGUGGUAUACCAUGUUACAAAAUUGCAAUAAAUUUUUUAAAAUUUUCAAAAAUAUCAUAAAUUGACUAAUAUUUUAUACAAAUAUAGAGUAAAAAUGACCAAUUUACUCUUUUUAUUAUUAAUAAUAUAUUAAAAAGAAAAAGAAAAGUGAACACGUUUAAGAUUUUCAUUUAUUAAAUAUUCUAUGAAAAUAUGGAUUAAAUUCUAUUAAAGUAAUAUUAAUAAUAAAAAUUGUCCUUAGUUUGCUUUUUAUGAUUUUAUUAAAUUGUCCUUUUUUAUUUUGCAUUCUUUUUCAUAUAUUUUAUAUAAUUAUAGUAUAUAUUGAAUAAUAUAAUGUAUCUUUUAUUAGUGAAAUGUUCUUAUAUCAAUUUAUUUAUUUAUUUUAUUUAAAUAUUCAUAUCUUACGUAGUAAAUAAUACAUUAUGUUUGAAAUAAUAUUAUUAUAUAUGAAAGUUGUUUAUGUUUACAAGAACAUGAAUGAGAAAUAAUUAUGAUGAGUAUAUGUAAUAUAUGUCAUUAAAAUAUUUGUUAUUCUCUAGUAUAUGUAAUAGGGGUGUUCAAAAUGAAGUUGAAAACUGAAUCGAAUCACUAAUCGAACCGAAAUCGAAUGCAUAUGGUUCGGUUCGAUUCGAUUUCUAUUUCAAAAAAACCACAUAAAAUUCGGUUCAGUUCAGUUUAAGAUGUUAAGAACCGAUUCUCAAACCGAACUGAAUUGCUUUAUUUUAAAAACUAAAUAUAUAUAUAUAUAUAUAUAUAUAUAUAUAUAUAUGUUAAUAAUAAGACUUUUUUAGACUUCAAAGCGGGUAUAGAGGCAAAAAUCAAUGAGAGGAACGAAAAGGAGAAGAAUGACAUAAUCAAAACGUAAAUGACAAAUUGUCUUGACGAAGUUUGUAUGACUGUAGGACUUUUAUUCAUCGUAGGUGGAUUUUAAAACUUCUAUGUGUUGUUGGACUUUCAAAUUUCAAUGUUUGAAACAUCUAUGUCUGUAAUUUUGAAAUUUCUAUGUUUAUAACUUUGUAUAAGCCGUUCGGUUUUGAUUUGAUUUUAUUUAUGUAUAUGUGGUUCGGUUUUCAUUCGGUUUGGCAUAGAUGAGCGGUUCGGUUCGGUUUCAAUGAAGAUGUUUUUUAUCAUUUUGCGGUUCGAUGCGGUUUUAGCUUCAAACCGAACCGCGAACACCACUAAUAUGUAAUGUUGAGAUCAACUGAAUAUGUUUGUAAUGUAGGGACUUUGAUGAAAGAAUUGAAGAUUCAGGAAAUUGUAUGAAAAAAAAUGGUUGAAUGUUAAAUUGACUUAUGAAUAGUGUUAUGAAACAAUACAUUAUAUAUUUUAUGAAUGAAAUGUUAUGCAAUCAAUUUGUUAAACUGGUUUAUUUAUUUUAUUUCAAAUAUUUAUUUUAUAUGUAAUAAAUAAUAAGUUAUGUUUGAAAAAGCAGUAUAAGGAUAUAUCAUAAUAUAUAUUGUUCAUUUAAGGUUAGUAAGAAUUUUAUAUUUUGUAUUUGAAAUAUACUAUGAUAUAUUGAGUACAUCAAAGAUGACAUCAUUUAUGUACUAUUUGUUGGAAUUUUUUGUCCUAAAACUCGUAGUUUGUAAAUCAUAUUCUACUCAAUAAAGUUGUUAUUGAGAAAUUAAAUAUUAUAAUCUUAAAUCCAAUAAAUCAAGUUCCAAGACUAUUUUUUGAAUAAACUUGAACUUUAUGUGUAAACAUAAACGUGGAUCAAGUUCGAGUAUAUAGCCUAAAUAGUCUAUAGUAUAUGAAAUAAAGGUUGGGCGCCUUAUUUAGAGAAACUAUGGAUGCGGCCCACUUUGUAGUACAAACGAGGUGAUCCUAAUCGUUCAUGUAGAGACAUGAAAGUGGGGGCAUCCUAUGUAAAAUGUUUACAUAAGACUGAACCAUGAAUUAGUCAUUUUUACGUUAUAACACCGUUUACUGUUUAAAACUGACUAUCUCAAUUAUUGAUGACCUAGGUAACUUAGUCUUAAUCCUGAGUUAACUAUGAACUCCUGUUCACACGAGAUUAUCCUUAGAUCUGCAUAGGUGAGGGCAGCUCAUCAGCGUUGGCCCAAUAAGCCUCCCAUUUCAGGGGUAAGAUCGGGUGGAUAGCUGGGAACAUAGGGUACAAGAUGGAAUUCACUCCUACCCGCUUUAGGGUUAGUAGAUAGGUUGCUCUCUUAAGCACUGAAUCCAAGUCUUGAACAAGGGGCCCCACCCUCUCAUUGGCUCGAGAGGGAUUAAGUUUAUAGGUUGAACCUUAAACCAAUUGUUCAAUAGUGGAUUAGUGGGACUUAAGGAGCAAGAUGUAAUCUUGGGGGUAAAACGGUAUUUUGACCCAGCCAAGGUUACGAGCAACCUGUGAAGGAUUAACUUACUGAUUAUGGUUUUAUCAAAUGGACACAAAUAUAUCUAUAGUGAGGGGAGUGCAACUACGGGACUUUAGUGGAAUGACCCGUUAGUUAACGAAUGUUGAUUAACUCGGUUUAAAAGAGUUUAGCUAGUUAAUCUUGAAUCGUUGGAGCCCAUGAUCUAUAGGUCCAUUAGGUUCCUCUGCUAGCUCAUAUGGAUUAAACUUAGAACAGUGUGAUGAAAUAAGUCGAAUUGUUCGAAUUGGGAGAAGAAAGGGAAACCGACAAAUAUAGUGAUAUAGUCGUCGAUCUUCUAAUUAGAAAUAGAGCUUUAUGUUUUACAUACUAUAAGUAUGAAUGCGGAUUCAUACUAAGAAGCUCGGAAUUGGUCAAAAAUAGUAAAAAGUCAAAAUGUUGACUUUUGACUUUGAAAAGUCAAACUUUGACCGGCCUUAUAUUCAAAUGUGAUUUGAAUUUUGGAAAAAUGAAUGCGGAUUCAUGCUCGGGAGGUUGGAAUUAGUCAAGACGGACAAAAUGGUAAAAAGUCAAAAUAUUGACUUUUGACUUAGAAAAGUCAAAGUUUGACUUUUGACUAGAAAUAUCUAAUGACCAUUUUACCCUUGGACUAAGUUAGUGGGAAAAUCCAACAUUUUGUUGGAUAAUCCCACUAACUCUUAGUGGGAUAUGUGGCUAUAUGAGAUAUAGACACCUAGCCCACUAAGUUCCACUAAUUGUUAGUGGAACAUUAGGUGUUGAGAUUUGGCAAAUGAAUUGCAUGCAUUUUUGCAUGCAAUUAGGCUAUAAAUAGAGGUGUUUUCAAAUGUUGAAGGACUUUUGCCUCUUUUAUCAUUUUCAUCAUCUCAACAAAAGAAAAAAAAAAAAACUUCCAAUCUCAUUUUAUCUCCAUUAUUUUCUACACCAAAAUUGGGUCCCACAACCCGGUUCUUUGUCUAGAGGAUAGCAGUUGAGUACUAGUGGUGGUCUCGGGUAGAAUUGGUAAGAAGACAUCAAACCUUUUGAAAGCUUCAAAGGUAAUACUUCUUAAAACUCUAAUUUGAUUAGUUUAUGGUUACAUGUUAAUUGUGGCAAUUAGGGUAGAAAUUCGAUUCUUUUUCCGCUGUGCAUGACUUAGUUCUAUCACUAUUGAAAAUAUGAAGUAGUAUAUAUAUGUAACAAAUCACAUAAGAUAUAUGUAUCAUGUACUAGUAUAUACGUCAUUAUUUAUAUAUACACACCUAAUGAAAAAAAGUAGAGUGUGUGGGACCCACGUAUAUAAAUAAUGAGAAAAUAAAAAAUGUUGGCCCAAUGUAAUAUAUAUAUAUAAAGUAAAAAAUAAACUAUGUAGGAUCCACUGCAUGAAAAUUGUGUACGGGUACAAAACUUCACCUCAACUCACCUAUUUUUGUCAAUAGUUUUGCAUUCACCUACUUUUGACAUAUGUUUCAAAAUUUACAUUAUUUUUUAAAAAAAGUUCUAUACAUAAUAAAUAAUAACUCGUGAUUGAAACAAGAGUGGUUAUGUAUGAAAGAUAGUAUAUUAAAUAUAAUAAAUUAAAAAACUUUGAUUGGUAUCGUAGAUGAAAAUUUAUGAAAAAAUAUAGAAAUAAAAUAACUAAAUUAAAAACUGAAAUAUGAAUAUUUCAAAUAAAAGUAUAAAUCAACCUACUAAAAGUUUAAUAAUAAGAAAGAAAAAUUAGUUCAAUAAGGAAAGCUUGCAUCUCUUUCGUUUAUGACAACCACAUUUAAAACUUCAUUUUAGAAUGAAUUCUAAUAUUUUUUUGUUGACCAACUGAACGUUUUACAUUCAAUGAGAUGAUGUCAACUUCAAUUACUGUAUUAUUGAAUAUAUGCAUUAGUAUGUAUGUAACAAAUCAAAUAAAAUACUAAUCGAAUAUAGAAAAAUAUAAAGAAAAUGAUACAAAACGUGAAGGAAAAAAACUGAACUAUAUAUGUGUCACAAAAUACGUGUUAUUAUAUUUAUAUAAAUGUAUAUAUUGAUAACAUCACCUGUCUAUGUAGUGAUAUAUAUUGAAAUUCAACUAUAAAUUAUGUAGAACUAUAUGUCACUAAAUAUUUAUGUUGUAAAUAAGGUGUAUCUAUAUAUUAAAUCACAUCAUAUCCUUGUAAUAGUACUAUAGAUAUGACUCACUUUAUAUUUGAUACAAACACAAUGAUCAAACUCUUUCGUGUAGGUGACAAGCGAGUGAGGGUAUCCUAUGCAAUGAAUUUACAUAAAACUGAACCACGAAAUAGUAAACCACUAGAUGAAACUCUAUUAACUAGUUGAGUUUCUAUUCCAUUAGGAUGACCUAGGUAACUUAGUCUUAAUCCUGAGUGUAUUAUGAGCUCAUGUUCACGAGGGAUCGUCCUUUGAUUUGUACAAGUGAGAGCGACAAGAUUAUGAACUCAAUAUGCUUAUCAUUUUGGGUACAGGACCAAGUAGGGAGUUAGAAACAUAAUCACACAAAAUGGAAUUCACUCAUUCCCGACUUUAGAGUAAUUGAAUGAGUGUUCCCUUAAAUUGUGUUUUUUAGACCUGAACAAAGGACCCUCUCUCUUUGGCACAACAUGGGUUCUUAUUUAAUGGUUGGACCAUAAACAUGUUCAUUAGAGGAGCAACGAUAAUUUGACCUAGCUGAUGUUACGAACACUUAUGAAGGAUUAACGUACUAUUAUUGGUUUAUAUCCAAUGACAUAAAAAUACAUAUACGAUAAGAAAAGUUCAGUUGUGAGUCUUUAGUAGCGGGUACACACAGUUAACGAAUAUUAGUUAAUGUGGUUAAUAAGUUUAGGCAAUUAAUCUCAUGUCGUUGUAGUUUUUUAUCUAUAGGUCCAUUAGGUCCCCUUCUUAACUCGUAAAGGAUAAUAAGAUUUAUUUAUAUUGAUUGUAAUUUGAAAUGUUCAAAUUUAUUUUGGGAAUGAAUAUAAUGUAUGAUGAUACAUUAUUAUAUAAAAUUUAUAUUUUAAUUAAACUUUAUUGUAUAAAUUUAAUUUGGAUAUGAUUCAUAAUUAAUUUAUG
Molecule: long non-coding RNA, 55700 nt
Filed under: Cucumis sativus (cucumber)
Lineage: Eukaryota; Viridiplantae; Streptophyta; Magnoliopsida; Cucurbitales; Cucurbitaceae
Description: long non-coding RNA (CSAT_LNC000306)
Source: RNAcentral